CAGCUUACUCGACAUAAAAGGCGGGAAUACAUGGGUUUAAGUUUGAUAUGGUAGUUGUGAAUCACUAUGUCAAACAAAUCCCAUUACAUGAUAGAUUAGAUAUCGUUUCAAUUCAAAUGAUUGAACAUCGUGAGAUUUUUAAAUCACACUCAACAAUAUGAGGUUAAAGAUAAAGAUAACAUAACAUAAUUAAAUGGAAAUAUAUAUAUCUGCUACAAAUACUAAAACGUCAAACACCAAAGACAGACAGUGUAUUAUCUGAGAGGAUUGACAAGGGAUGAGCUUGACAAGAGAGGCUUCAAAGUGUCCGACAUUGCGCAAAUGUAAGCGGCGGCCAUUGAGAAUGCAGAAACUAGGGACAGUGGCCAGAGCGGAAGCGCGCUGAAAAGAAUCAUCAUCAAUGCUACGGAUAUGAAAAAUGUUAAGGAAUUGAAGACAAUGGCUGAUAGGAUAAAAUAAGGAUGUUGAUUCGCAAUCUGGCAGAAGGGACUUAGGCGGCUAGAAUUGCAUUCGUAGGCCUGUUCAGCUCUGCAUCCCAGGAUUUUCAAUUGUACGUGGAAGGUUGUAGUUGAUAACAGUGCUGAGAUGAGUAAUAAUAGAUGAUAUACAUUAAUGCCUUUAGAGUGCUUCUUUCCUGUUUUCAUGGGCCAGUUAUGCCGCAAAUUUGAAGCAGCUGAUGAGCUAGCUGUCUUCCAAGGUGAGAUGUCUAAAGCGGUAAAAUCACUAGUGCCCAUAGUUUUAUUCUUGGAGAUGGAGUUUGAGCCUGGAAAAUAAUUCAAUAGCUGCAGAAUUCAAACAUGAAAUUACAACAAACUAAAAAUUAAAAAAAGAAAAAAAACUGUUGGUGGCAAAAGAGAUUUAGCUAGAUUAGUUAGUAAAACGAACACAGCGAUAUAAAAGGUGACGAUCAAAUGAAAACUAUCCCUGACUACGAAUAAGCAUAUUGAAGAGUUUAAAUAGCUUCAGUGGAAAUCAAAUUACGUAGGAAUCGCGAAAGAAAGAUUGCGGAGUCAUCCCGAAAAAAUAGGACAAGAAAAAUGGAAGCAACCGCGUUGUUUACUUUGUUAUUUUAUUUGUGCAGGACGCCGCUGGCAUUUUGCAGCUUGGAAAGCAUAUUGCUUGCCUGGUUAGUAAUGUUGGAUUUAUGCCCAAAAAAAGAGUUAAUAUGAGUUUUUAUUUUGAUGUCCAAUGUUUUUGUUUAAAGUUUUGUCAUCGUAAUUGUUAUUUUUAACAAAAAAAAACAAUUAAGCUAUUAAAGCACUAAUAAUAUAGCAUAAUAUGUUCUCUCAAAUACAAAUUUAGAUUUUACAUCAUUUAAAAACUUAUUUAAUUAUUAUAAAGGUAUAUAAAUAUAGUAAUUUUAUGUUUUUAAAGAACCAUUGUAUUAGUAAAAUAUUAACACAUUAGUAAAAUAUAUAUAUAUAUAUAUAUAUAUAUAAUACUCAGAAAAGUAAGAUAAUAUAAUAUCAAUAAAGUGCUAUGGAUGUGGGAGCCAUUCAAUUAUGCUUGAAAAAAUGUCAAAGUUACAGUUCUAGUGCACUGGGCCCUGGCGAGAACAUUAACGAAAAAGACUCGGUAUCAAAUGUGUUUCAUUUUCUAAACUAAUGCUUGAUUCGACCCUACCAAAUGCCUUUUUCUCAUUUUUUUUUUUGUUCUUGCAAAAUGAAAAAAAAAAAAUGAUAGGUGAAAAAUGGUACAGUAUGCACCAAAAAAAAAUUCAAAUCAUUUAUUCAUUUUCGUACAGAAAAAAUGUCCAGGUUACAAUUAUACUGGCCCUUAGCAAAAACAAAAUUGGAAAACGUAAGCAUAAAACGUGUUUCAUUUUCUUGAAAAAUAUAAAUUGAACCGUAAUUCAGCCCAACUAAACGUGUUUUUAUUAAUUUGUGUUCUUGCAAAAUAUAAAAUAAUAGGUGCAAAACAGUACCAUUUGCACCCUGUGUCAAAUUUUUUACAUCUCAAUACAACACAUUAAAAUACGUUUUAAUCCAUUUUGUGUUGUGUCGCUGGCUUCUCUUGAGGCUAAAUAUCAUUAUUCAGCAUAUAUUUCUUUUUUCCACUGCACUCAGCUUUUUUUUUUCAAUAAAAGAAAAAUUUACAAAUAGCUUGCAUAUGAAAAAUAAUUAAUUAACAAAAAAAUUUUGUGUAUCCUUCAUUAACUGGGUUUUUGUUUUAGGCACUUGAGAUUUUAUUUGUUGGGAAAAUAACACCUACACUCAAGGUUUAGGGAACUGGUCACAAAGUCCCCCAAAUUUCAAUAAGGGACAUCAAGACCCCUUUUUAACUAUAAUACAUUUUGACUCUAUAAAUCCGCAAAUAAAUACCCAAAAAUUUUCUAAUAAAUGGAUGUAUAAAUUAUUAUGCAUAUAGAUGACCAUAUUAAGUCUUUAAAAGAAACUUAAAAAAUACAAAAUAACUUUAUUAGGGCCCCAGGUAUGUUGCACUACAAGGCUAACACUUUUAUUCUUUAAACAAUAUGCCCUUGGGCCUGAUUAGUUGAUCUUUUAGGUGUUACGUAUCAAUGUCCCCAAAAGAUUACCUUUUACUAAGCUUGGAGGGCUUGCCCUCUUUGGGGAACUUUACCACCUUAUAAUACAACCACCUAUUUUUCAUAAAUUCAUUUUCUAAAACGUCUUCUUAUAAAAUAGUCCAUGAAACGCAUGCGUUCAAUGCAACUUAUAUCAUAACAUGUGAAGUUCCUAUAGGAACAGCAAAAUUAACAUACAAUGGUAUUUAAGGACAACAUUCUUUAAUGUAGGCGGCAGUGCCAUCCAUAUGGAGAUUAAACAAAAUGGGACUAUAAUAUAGGCACUGCUGUACGGCCAAGGCGGAUGUACGGUACAGCAGAAAUAUAUUAUUAGAAUAAAUAUAAUAAUUUAAAAUUUUAAUAUCAUUUUAAAUGUCAAAAAUAAUUUAAUAUUAUUAGUCUACUAGAUAGAUUAAAUUAUUUAUAUUAAAUUUGUGUUAAUUAAAAACAUUUAAAGUUAAUUUUUUUAAUUACUAUAAUCAAAUGGUAUUAUGAGGAAAAAGGGAUUUUGGUAUCCUUUUUAAAAUUUGAGAUUUUUUAUGGUUAUUUUCCCAAAUUUUAGGUCUUUUUCCCUUAUUUGUUAGAGGUUUUGCAUAGGGGUGAGCAUUUUCAAACUAAAACUAGUCAAACCGAGCCAACCUAACCAUUGGCCCAAUUUGGGGCAGUUUGUAACAAGCCGCUUGAAUUUUGGGCUGAAAAUGGUUUGACAAAUCUCAACCUGGUCAAACUGACCAAAUCGAAAAGAAAUGCCACAUGUAUUAUUUUAGUUGCAUAUUACUCUAUAUAAUUACAUGGGAGUCGCGAAGGAAAUAUUGCGGACUUAUAACAAUAAAUAGAAAAAAAAAAAAAAAAGGAAAAAAAGGAUAAGAAAAAUGGAAGCAACCGCGUUGUUUACUUUGUUAUUUUGUUUGUGCACCACACUAUCAUGGGCGGCUUAAACUUCCCGCAAACGGAGGCUGAAUUGGUGUGCAUAGGUUUGCUUAGUAAAAAUCUAUCCAAAGGCGAGAUGUAGCAGCAGGGUGUACUUAGUAAAAGUCUAUCCACUCAUAGUAUUCAAACUAUAAUUUUAAUACUCUCUCAUUUUUAUAUUUUUUCUCACUUUUAUCAGUUAAUUAUUAUAUUAUUUAAUUCUUAACUAAUUAUAUGUGUGGAUAAAUAUAGAAUCAAGUACCAAAUGUGCCACAAUUGUAUUAAUGUGGCGAUAUUAUGUCAAAAUACUAUACAAAUCUAAAAAAAUCUAUAAAUUAACAUGACAUAAAAAUAACCAGAAAAUAAUAAAAUAAACUUAAAACUUACUUAAGAAAGUAAUUAAUUUAAUAAUUUGAAAUCUUGAGCUUUACCAUUCACCUCAGCUUAGUAAAAUUAGCCACUUAUAUUGAAAGAAAACAAAACACUCUUUUUAUUUGACAAAUUUUUCAAAAUAUAUUAUAAAAAAAUUGAUUACACCAAAAACAAGAAAAGAAAGAAAAAAAGAAAGAAUUCUUCAGCUUCACUCUGUUCUCUCCAGGCAUUUUUUGUCGCUUAUCUCCCUUUCUUUGACUUUUAUAGGCAACAAAUGCCUCCACCUUCAUUCCUUUUAUUUUUAUUUAAUUUAUUAUUAUAUUAUUAUUUUAAUCAUUAAAGGGAUGAGCAAGUGGAUGGUGGUAGCCACUUGCUCAUCUUGAUAAGUGGCUCACACACUUUUUAAUUAUUAUUUUAUUAGUUUUUAUUAUUAAUUUUUUUAGCUUUUAUAUAUGAAUACAAUCAAACUUUUUGUCUCCUACUUUCAAUUCUGAUUCCUUCUUAUUCUUAAAAUUUAUCUGCAAAUUAAAAUUAACAUGUUACAAAUUAGGGUCCUUCUAUGUUGCAACAGUUACAACGUACAACACUUUUUGUCCUCAUUCACAAUUAUCGUAGGAUCUGAAGAGACUCCAUCUAACGGUUAAGAUUAUUGAGUGGAAAAACAAAGUAUGUACUAGCAACCGUUGAAGCCAGUUAUCUACUCAAGUAAUGGCUUUUGAGGGGGCGUCAGUUUGAAACAGGUGAUUAGGAAGAACAUGAAUGAUUUACUCACGAGAAAAGAGAAACAAAGGGUUGAGAAGAUGGCCGUUAAGAAAUAAUCCGGAGACACGAAUAUGAAAAGAAGACGAUCGCAUUUUAUUGGGGGGAAAAUAUUCGGAGGAUUCACCUAAGUUGGAACCUGGGUUGUCAACAGAGCAAUUUCGAUGGCAAGAGGCAAAGAAACCAGCGGGUAUAUGUGAUUUAAUUUGACAAAUAAUCAAGAUACACCAAAUACAAGAGAAGACGAUCGCAAUUUUGUGGGGAAAAAGAUUCGGAUGUUUUGUUUAUGAAUAUAGGCUGUUGUGGGAACAAAUCAGAUGGUGCUUCUGUAAACGUAGUAGCAAAUUGCAACCUAUAUUUUCCGGUGCUGAAAGUAUAGGAAUUACCCAUAUCUGAAAGUAGAGGGAAUAUCUCAUCUGUUUGAUUUACUGGUGUGCAGUUCGAAGCGGAUGAAGAAGGCAAUUGGUGAAAAAAUAAUGGUUAAUUUUGUUUGAAAGAGUUACUAUUCAUAAUUCGAUUGGGAGAGCCGGUUAUGUUUAUUUAUAAGAAUGCAAUGAGGUGAUAUAGGUAAGAAAUUCUCAAUGUUUAAUUUUAUUGCAAGCAGCAGUGGAAUGAAGGAGGAAAAGGCAAUUAAUUUCUUGGAGAAGGAAAUGCCGAACAAUCUUGCAUUUACAUUUAAACAAACUGUGAGCUUAAGUUUGAUCGUAAUUUUAUUAAUCGGUAGACAAAGAUUAAAGUGAUCUUGAAAAUGUCAUUCAUAAGGAUAAUUUGUGUUCAUUUUGUUGGUCCAGAUACCUUGCUGAAUUUUAUUAGAUAGUGAGUUUAAUAGUAGAUUGUAUUAAUUGUUUGUUCUGUUUUUUUUUUUUAAUGCAUAGGCAUAUGAAUCUUUUUCUUCCCAUAUUGACAUCGUUUCUUACUUAAAGAUGGGGACACAUAUGCUGAAGAAUACAAGAUGCAUGGAUUUGGUGUCUGUCGUUUUGCCAAUAGGCAUUGGUAUGAAGGAGCCUGGCGUGAGCGUAUAAGACAAGGGCUUGGAAUGUACACAUUCAGAAAUGGGGAAAACCCAAUCUGGUCACAGGCAAAAUGGACUUCUCGACAUUCCAAGCGCACAAAAUACAACUCAUCUUAUAUCAUCUAUUGCAAUUUACCACUCCAAAGUACUCAAUGUGGUGCUGGUAUUUGAACCUUUUUAACCAAACUUUUAUUCAUUUUAACACUCAGCAGCUGCUGAUGCCUAAAAUUUAUUACAGAUUUAUUGUUUCAUUGCAGAUGUUUCAAUGUUCCUUGUGUAAUAUGAUUAAUGCACGUCUUCACUUUCAGCAUUUUACUGAUGUGAGUAAGAUGAAUGAAAUUGAAGAUAACAAUCAGAAGUUAUUUUUAAAUUUUGGUUGUCUGUGAGAAAACCUCACUAAGCUACACAAAACUUGUUAAUGUCAUAAUAACUUUCGUCAAGUUAAUUGUUGUUCAAGUGGGGAUUUUUUUUCUUAUUGUCGUUGUCUUGUAAUCAGGAAGCACGAUGAGCAACUGAAAGGCUUAUGAUGUGGCUAAGGUAGAUGAGAGAGUUAACAGGGCUGUAGCAGCAGUUAACAGGGUAGCAAAUGGAGAUAGAGUUGCUACAUUUAAGGCUGUCAAUGCAUCAUAACAACAACAAAGAUAGCAUCCCUCUUUGUAUGAUAUAUACCCAUGCACGUCUCAUAUAGUAAUACAAUUGUCUAGAUGGCUUUAAGACGAUGAUGACUAAUGAGUCAUUAAUCAUCAUCCUUUCUUCAUCAUUUUUCUUUAUCGAAGGGGCUUCAAAAUUUUGAAGUCCCUGCAUUAAUGAUAUUUGCUUCUCAGAGUAAGAUGGUGGAAGAGCACUAUAUUAGGUUUGUUCCUCUAAAAUCAUCUGUUAGAUGCAUUCCCAAACUAAUGGGGAAUGGAGGGAGAGAACAGAGGCGACGACAAUAACUUGUGUGUUUAGAUAAUAUUUGCCUUUUUCCUUUUUGUUUAGAGUUUUGUAAAGUUGGAUGUAAUUGUAAGAGUUAAGAGUGCUGGUAAGAGACCUUCGGCCUAGCCUUUGUUGUAUGUGAGCUCACUGGUUUCUACAAUGAAAUACAAUCAAUGCUUGCCUGUAUCUUGGGGCGUUUAUGGAUUUAAUCCAAAAUGAUAAUCAAUCAACCUAUGCCUUUGAACGAAUUGAUUUAUUUUUGCUAAAAUACAAUAACAAAAUAUUCAAUUUCAAUUGGAGCUAGUUUCUUAUGAAUAAUUACUAAUUGUGGAAAGCAAUUUUCAUUGUGGCCUAUUUAAAUAAUUAUAGCCAUGAUGUUUAAUAUUAAUGGGUUCCUCUAUGAUGCUGUAAAAAAUUUACAGCAUCAAUAAUGUAUUAAUUGUGAACCAUUAGAUUUAAUCAAUAGUGUACAAUAUUUGUAUUAAAAAAAUAAUUUAAAAAUAAUAGUAAACAGUUUGUUAACAUUUAAGUGGGUGGAGAAUUUUUGUAAAAUAAUUGUGACCACCCUUAGAGUUUGAAAUAAUUUCACUUAAAUAGCAUAUUUUAUUUAAAAUUACUUUUCAGCCCUCCUUUAAAUUUGUAAUAUGAUAAUCUUUUUUAAAUAAAUCUUCCAAAAUCAACUAUCAUUAAGUAUAAAAUAUAAUAUCAAGUAGGUUAUUUAACACAAAGUCUUAUAAUAAUUUGUAUUGUAUGAAUUUAAUUACAAACCAUUAAUACCUAAACAAUAAUGAUAAUAGAAGGCAUUUCAAUAAACUAUUUUAUAUGUGUUUUAUUAAUAAUACUAUAUGAGUCACAACAAAUGAGAAAUAUUUUAUUCACCAAUUAUUAUUGAAAAAUAUAUAUGUCUAUAUAACUAUAGAGUGAGAAAUAUUUUGAUUUAAAUUUUUAACAAAAGAUUAAACUAUUUAUUUCAUGCAAUUCAAUGGUAGAGGAUAUAACAUUAUGAAAUGUUGCUUUGACUUUCAAUAUCAACCAUUAGAUUAUGAGAUAUUAGUGGCUCAAAUAUUGUGCUAAAAUUUUAAGUUAAAGUAUCCCAAACCAUAUCUUUAUAAUGGAAAUAUAAAAACAUGCAAUGAUUUUUUUUCCUCAUUUUGUCCAUUAAAUAUUAUUUGAUGUGAUAUUUUAUUUAUUGUCACUAUUAAUUAUCAUAAUAAAAGUAAUGACUCUUCGUAACAUAAAAUUUUUAUAAUUACUAUAAAAGAAUAACAAUAAAAUAAUCUUUCAUGAUUCAUAAACUAAAACUCAUUAGGAAUAUAUAUUCGAUUUAACUUUUAUGAAAUUAACAAAGUGAUAUUUGAAAAUAAAAUGAAAAUAUAUAAGCUUAUAAAACUUAAAACUCCCACCAUGUAAGGAUAUUAACUGUAAGAUAAAUAUAAAGUAUAGAAAAUAAGUACGUUAAAUGGGUGUUAAAAAUGAUACAUACUUCAUGAUCAAUUAUACAAUGGCCCUUAAUAUUAUAUAAAAUAAUGAGUAUUUUAAUAUACGAUAUUAAAUUUUAUUAAAACAUGUGUGAUCAAGUAAUUUUUAUGUUACAAGCAAUCUCAACAAUGAGUUUAUUGAUGUAUCUAUGACAUUUACUUAACUAUAUGUACUUGUUGUGUUAUUUAUUAGUGUUAUAUCACAUAUAAAUUUUGCAAUUGCAACUUAUUUAUUGUAUUUGUGUUAAAUAACCUACCAUUAUAUUUUAUACUUAAUGGUAAUAGAUUUUGGAAGAUUUAUUUAAAAAAGAUUAUCACAUUUCAAAUUUAAAGGGGGAUUGAAAAAUAAUUUUAAAUAAAAUAUGAUAUUUAAGUGAAAUUGUUUCAAACUAUAAGGGUGGUCAUAGUUAUUUCACAAACUUCUCCACCCCUUACACGUUUGUUAACCGUUUAUCAUUAUUUUUUAUUUUUAUUUUUACCUAAAAAUAUUGUGUACCAUUGAUUAAAUCCAAUGGUGCACAAUUAAAAACAUUAUUGAUGCUGUAAAAAAAAUUACAGCAUCAUAGAGGAACCCUUAAUGUCAACAUUUUGAAGCAACAGACCAUGCAGUUAACACCACAAAACUAAAAGUCAAAAUCUAUUUCAUAAAGAGAUUCAAAUUCAAAACUUUCUAACCAAAUACCCAAGCAUAACCAAUUCACGACAAGGAUGGCCGACGCUGCCCAAGGUUUCUCUCAAUUUGACAUAACGAAAGAGGAAAUAGAUAAGCUUGUUGCAAAAGUUGUAUAAUAUGUCCGUUUUAAAACUCAUUAGAACUCGGGGUGUCCGAUCAAGAGAGAAGACCUUGUUCAAUUGGUUACCAAAACUAUAGCCAGUGUGCUAUUCCUGCUCAUGUGAUCAGUGCGGCUAAAGAGAAGCUCUCUAAUGCUUUUGGCUAUGACUUGAGAGAGCUUCUGAGAUACCGCCCUUCAUCCGCUACUCAACGCCACUCUACUCAACAAACUGAUGUUGCCAAGGCAAAGUCCUAUGUUCUCAUAAGUAAGCUACCAGCUGAGGUGUACAAAAAAUAUGUAGAAGAUGAAAAUUCAGCACAUUUUAUCUAGUUUUACAUUUGUUGUAAUUAGCAUUGUGCAUCUUGCUCGAGGUAAAACCCCAGAAGAUAUCCUUUGGCAUCACUUUGAAACGUAUGGGAUUGUGUGAAACUAAUGUAAGCCAUCCGCCGUUUGGAAAUGCCAAGUAGGUGUUGGAGACACUAGUCCAGCAAAGAUAUUUGCAGAAAGACAAGGUUAAUGGCCCUAAAGGCAAUACUUGGUUUUAUGAGCUUGCUGAGCGAGCUCUGGAUUGACCACUUAGCGAAAAAAUGAAAGAAUACAUAUCAGAGAUUGAUAGCAAAGAAGUUGUCCCUGUGGAUGUUGACGAAGCUGAGUAGUGACCUAAUGCUAAUCUUCAUUUAACUUUGUAGAGACUGGGCAUGUUAAAAGUUUCUGAUCUCUGGUGACAGCAAUGGUGAAAAUAUUGGGAAGUUAGCAGAUUAGGGAAGGAAAUGGCCUAAAUCACCAAUCUCAUUUCUAGAAUUCGAAUGUGAGAGAGGUUGCUGCACUACGCUAAUAGCCAAUGCUGUAUCUAUAAAGUGGCUUUAAGUUACAGGUUAAAAUUAUGUAACCUGACAAUGGUUUGUACUGACAAUGAUGUUUUCAGACUUGGAGUAACUACAAAUUUUUUGGAGAAGCUAGAGCAGUUAUGGGAGCAAAACGAGUCAAGUAAAAUAGGCUUCAAUUGGAUAUCUUUUAGCCUGUCUGAAUUCUGAUGAUUGAUAUAUGAAAAUUGUGUCCACCACUGGUUGCUUUGUAAUAAAAUUUUUUAGUAGAUUAAAAAAAAAAAUCCAAGCAUAGAAAUACAUUUAGACAAUCCUGUCCCAGGAAUUAAUCCCAUCUCAAAUAAAUUGAAAAAAAAAAAAAUUUCAGGAAUUAAUCCCAUCUCAAAUAAAUUGAAAAUACAUUUAGACAAUCCUGUCCCAGGAAUUAAUCCCAUCUCAAAUAAAUUGAAAAAAAAAAAAAGAUAGUUUGGUAACACAAUUAACUCUCAGUCUGCUCCCUCAACCUCCUAAUGGUACCUCUCGCGGUCACAGCACUACCAAUACUGGAAAGGAACAUAGGACAUAAUUUAGAAUCAUUCAAAUUAAACAAUCAAAGUAAAUAUAACAGCUAAUGAGAAUCUUACUUCAAAGUGUAAGCGCCUCCAGCUUUCACCUUGCUAGAGUCUUUGCAACCCCAGAUUCCCACAGCCUUCCUCACAGCAUACUGCCAACAGUAAGGAAUAUGUAAAUAUUUAAUACAUCCACAAGCAAAAGCGAACAGUCAUUGAACAGCAAAGAGGGGAAUGUAUUACUUUCCCACAAAAUUCACAGAAGUACUAGCUGUGUUGACAGACCUCCAUCUUCUUAAGAUUGGCACCAUAACAGGUGCCUGGAAAAUAAUAAUACUUAUAAUUCCAAGAUCACAAAGCCACACAUGCAAAAACAAACUAAAACAUGAAAGUAAGGCUAACAACAGGCGAGAGAGAAACAUGUCAAUAAACAUGUCAAUAACCCACAAUUCAUGCUCAAAGCUUAAUGAGACAUAAUAUUUCUACCUACUAUUAAUAUAAAGAUAUCCCAAGGGAAAGAAAUGAAAAUCUAAGUCUACGUUACCAUAACAUCUAUACUUGAGGACACUAAACAAACCAAAAAAAUGAAUAAAACUAGCCUCAAUAUAUAUCAUACUACAAUUCCUGUCUUCUAGGUCCUUUUCGUCUGCAAAACCCGAUAUAUGAAACCAUGAUCAAAUACAUGAAUUGGAAAAGUUUUUUAAAAAAAAAAACAAGAGCAAAACCAAAAUCAUCAGUAUUGGAAAGAGAAAAACAGUGAUUAAAAGAAAAAAAGAAAUUGGAAGAAUCUAAAUCCUUUGACAAAGAAACAUAACAAACUAGGAGGUGUUACAUCAAAGAAAGAAGCAUUGCAGCUGGAGAAUAUGAGAUAAUUAUUAACUAAACAUAUCUAAAUUCUAAAAGCUCCAACUUUGGGUUCAAAAUCUUACUAUUUUCUUAUUUUCAAGUUCAACUACAUUGCAAAUCCAGUAACAAUAAUUAGAUCAAUUGUACUCGACUUUGAUUUUCACCAACCAACAACAUGAAUUCAUAUGAAGAGAAUAAAUAAAAUAAAAAGCAUAAAGGGAGAACAGGAUACCAUUUUGCAGAAGCAUACCAAAAAUUCUAAAAAUCUCACUUCUUGUUGGUGAGAAUAAAGAGAGACGAGAGUUGCCAAGCUAAAUACCCCGUUUGUUCUUUAUUGUGCUGGUGGUAAUUUAUAUAUUCUGUAAUAAACGCAAGCUAAUUACGAGUUUAAAUCAUUUCAAAAAAACAAUUACAGAGUUUAAUAAAGAAUUACCUACUGUGUCGGGUGAUUCGAUCAGCAUAAGAACAGAUUCAUCUUCAUGAACACUGACCACUUUAUUGAUCAGCUCAAUCAUCUCAAUCAACACUAGUAAUCUCCAAAUAAUCCAAGACCCACCACACAAUUGCCUCAGCAGCAUUUGUGGGCUCCCAAAAGGUCAGGGGGUGGGUGUGCAAACGACUUCUUCACAUUGUAAAUCCUAUCAUUUGCAAUCAAUCCAACCUAAUUAACGCACAUUCCACAUUCGUAUUAACAUAUGUGCCAUUUGAUAAAUCCGAAUAAUUACCUACAACAGCAAGUAUAGGUAUCGCCCAAGAUCAAAAUUGUGUCUGUAAAAGGUGGUCGUCUCGCCGGCAGACCUGUACUCCCCCAAAUUAGGGCAUUUUAUCACGGGAUGAGUAUUUUGCUCAGCUAACUCGUGCGGCAUUUAGACAACUUUGCCGAAUGUUGCUAAGUAAGCCUUGAGUUUCUCGAACUAGAGAAGAGAGUAAUGGAGCCGAAUGAGGAAAAUUGUAUUGCACAAAGAGAGAUUACAAUGCUUGAGUUGCUUAUAAUGUUUGUUGUAGUGUUUGUUGGAUGCAAAUGCCUAAUGUCAUCCCAUAUUUAUAGGGGAGGCUUGACAAGCUCUAGAGAUUCUAGAGAAAUCUACCAACUAUCUAGAAUUUACAUGUGCUGGAAAUGCAUAGAGAAUUCUAGAAUAUUUACAAGCUCAAUGUACUAGAGUUGCCUAGAACUUUUUGGAAUUGGGCCAAGCUAGGACUCUUGGCCUUGUGUUGGCUCUCUAGCCCAAAAUUGUGGGCAAUUGGGCUAGCAUCUUAGGCGGACCGUAACAUCCUCCCCCACCUAAGCUCGCGGCGUCCUCGUCGCGAUCUCGUCCUUACUCCUUUAGGGACUUGUUCCGCAAUUUGCCGUUAGUCUUCUUGUGCUUCACUCUUGGGGAGGUUCCGCCAGUUGCUCCGCAUUUGGUCGUUUCCUUCUUUUGGUUGGUGUUGCGGCGUCCCUUCUUGUGUUUCUGCAACCCCUUAUGCUCGGAUGGCUUUGUGCAUUGCUCAGCCACUCGUCUCGGUGGGAGCUUCGGAGGCAUAGCGUCCUUGCCUUUGUCAUGGACGGCUCGUCCUUGUUGUGGGACUUGGCUUGGAGGGCUUUCGGAAUCCUCUCUCUUGCGGUGUUGCCGGAUGGAGACCAAGUGGUCCGGAUUCUUCUUGAAUCCUCGUUUGCAUUGCAUGACCGAGAGCGCCUUUUUUGCGGGUUGUGCGCGCUCGACCGGUACCACGCAUGCCUUACUUCCAUCGAAGAUGCUAAGGGAAUUCGUUGCAGAGAGUGGGAAGGCAUGUACCUUUUCGAGGAAUUCCAUACCAAGGAUCAUUACGAAAUCAUCCAUCGGCACAAUCAAGAAGUCGAGCUUCCUAUUCCAUGUCCCAAGCGUAACGUAUCCCACAAAUGGCUUGGCAGGUGAAUUUACAGCCUUGAUAGUGCCUCUGUGCUGCAUUACCUUGAGGCCUAGACACUUACCCUUUUUUUAGAGAUGAAGUUGUGCAUUGCUCUGGUGUCAAGGAGCGCACAAACGGUUCGGCCAUUGAUGAGCACACUUACGAACAUGAGCCCUUUCCUUGUAGGUGCUGGCGGUUGGCUCACGAGUGUGCUAAGGCGCGUUGGAGCGAACCCAAGUUGUGGUGAGAUUCCUCCGCAGUCGGUGUGUGUUGGCCCUUGAGUUGUGCCACGAGGGCAUUCAACGACUUUUUCUCCGGGAAGUCGCGCACCUAAUGAGGGCCAUUGCAAAUGAAGCAUGGGCUUCGAGGCUUAGGUGGCUUCUCGAACUUACUUUGCCCGCCCUUGCUGCUUGGAGGCUUUUUCUUGCUCCAUUCCUUGCAAUUGCGGUCGUUGUCCUCAUGGCUCUCUCCCCCACCUUGGUCGUAGCUAGACCUCUUAUCCUUGAGAUGGGCGGAGUAUUCGGUGAGCGACUCCGCAACGGCAAUGGCGUCGUCAAGUGUUUGUAUGCCACGCCUAUCAAGCUCGGUCUUGGCCCAAUUCUUGAGGCCAUCUUGGAAGUAGAAGAGCGAAUCCUUGUCGGACUUAUUCCUUAUCUCCAACAUAAGGGUAGUGAACUCAUUGAUGUAGUCCCGAAUGCUACCCGAUUACUUGAGGCGAUGUAAGCGCACUUGCGCUUCCUUCUCCGUAUUGCUUGGGGCGAAUUGCUUUCGAAAUUCUUGCUUGAAGUCGGCCUAAGUGUCGAUGGUGCAAAUGCCCUUGCCCAUCUCGCCAUGCUUGUGACGCCACCAUAAUUGUGCAACGCCUCUAAGAUGGGUGGGUGCAGUGCCCACUUUCGAUGCCUCAUCUCGGACACUCAUGGCAUCGAAGUAUUGAUCCAGCCCAAAUAGGAAGUUGUCCACGAUUGUGGCAUUGCGUGUGCCAUCGUAAGUGUCGGGUUUUGGCACGUCAAUGCGGCGUGCAUCACUCGAGUUUGGGGAAGCUAGACUUGUGGAGAGUGUGCGCUUGUGCCAUACCCAAUCCGAGCGGACUUCAUCCACUUCCGCACGGAUAGCGCGUAGUUCGUCCUGAACAAAACUACGAAUUUUGAGCAACUCAUCAUGAAAAGAACAAAACUCACCUCGGAGAGUGUUCGCUUGCUCUUGGAUGAGAGCUUUCGUUGCCACCGUGAACUCGGCGUAUUCUCCCUCGAGACCGUCCACUCGUUCCUCCAAUCCCUCGAGGCUUUCUUGAGCGGCGGACAAUGUGAUUUCGAGAGUAGUCACACGAGGCUCCAACGCAUCCACGGAUGGGGCCUUGGACUUGCUGCGAGUCUUGCCUUGGGCGCGUUCUCCCUCUCGGCUGCAGCUUGGUUCUGAUGGAACAUCCACACCAACAACACCCUCUUGUGCUACGUUCGAAGGGUUGGCCAUUGCUUCGUGAGCUAACUUGCGUGUGUGCAAACCUUAGCUCUGAUACCACUUGUCACGGGAUGAGUAUUUUGAGCAGCUAACCUGUGCGACACUUAGACAACUUUGCCGAAUAUUGCUAAGUAAGCCUUGAGCUUCUCGAACUAGAGAAGAGAGCAAUGGAGCCGAAUGAGGAAAAUUGUAUUGCACAAAGAGAGAUUACAAUGCUUGAGUUGCUUAUAAUGUUUGUUGUAGUGUUUGUUGGAUGCAAAUGCCUAAUGUCAUCCCAUAUUUAUAGGGGAGGCUUGACAAGCUCUAGAGAUUCUAGAGAAAUCUACCAACUAUCUAGAAUUUACAUUUGCUGGAAAUGCAUAGAGAAUUCUAGAAUAUUUACAAGCUCAAUGUGCUAGAGUUGCCUAGAACUUUCCGGAAUUGGGCCAAGCUAGCACUCUUGGCCUUGUGUUGGCUCUCUAGCCCGAAAUUGUGGGCAAUUGGGCUAGCAUCUUAGGCGGACCGUAACAAUUUGCCCUCUUCACAACACGUCUGAGGCUUCAAUUCGCCCAUUUUUUUUCUUCCUCUGAUGAAGGAAUCGCCUCCUAUUUGGUCUUUGCCAGGGGCUUCUUUCGCUUAUCACCUUGGCUUCUUUUUACAGAACAGUCAACGUGCGUUUUCAGAUAUAACUUAUAUUUUCUUAACCGGCUUCUCCGAUAUUCUUUAAUACAAAUGUGACCAUCCCUGAAGCAUUCGAUCGGUUGGCUUUAAAUCUAUCGGUUACAUUCAAUGAGGACAAAAAGUGUUGCACGUUGCAACUGUUACAACAUAGGAGGACCCUAUAAAUUAAUUUAACAUAAAAAUAUAUUUGGCAGGUGUUAAGAUAAUUUAAGAAUAAUUAGCGCAUUAAUCAACAUUGUAAGUGAAAAACUACUAAUUUUAUUAUUAUUAAAUGUACAAUUUUUAAUGUCAAUUAGCUUACUUAACAACUUUUGUGCUAGAAGUUAUCUAAAUAUCUCACAGGUUACUAUGCAACAUACUCAUCCUGUGACAACAUGCUAGCUUUUUGAAGCUUAGAAAGCAUAUUGCUUGGAUACUAUUGGAUUUAUGCCCAAAAAUAAAUUAAUAUAAGUUUUUAAUUUGAUGUCCAAUGUUUUUGUACAUGUUAUUUUUAACCAAAACAAAGAGUUAAACUAUUAAGGCUCCGUUUGGGAUUAAAAUUGGAUAGCUGUAACUUAAAAGUUAUAGCAUCAAAUUGUUUGGUAACUUUAAUUGCUAUAACUUGGAAGGUAAGUUGAUUUGAUUUUACAUUUAUAUGAUGAAAAAUCUAUUAUAUAUUUAUUAAUUUUUUUAAAAUUAUUAUUUAAAAAUUAUAUUUACUACGUACUAUUAACUUUUAAUUCAUUAUUACAAAUUUUUUUUUCUACAAUAGUUAUAAUUUAAAAACUACAAUAUCUCAAUACCAACCAUGACCUAGAACAUUAAUAAAAUAGUAUAAUAUAUUAUCAUAAAUACAAAUUUAUAUUUUAUAUCAUUUAAAAGCUUAUUUUUAAAACGAAAAAGUAUAUCAGAAAAGUUAGAGAAUACAGUAUCAAUAAAGUGCUAUGGAAACGGGAGCCAUUCGAUUAUGCUUAAGAAAAUGUCAAAGUUGCAGUUCUACCAUACUGGGCCCCAGCGAAAAUUAAAAUGUGCUUCAUUCUAAAAUAUAUAUUAAUGCUUGAUUCGACCCAACCGAAUGCCUUUUUCUUAUUUUAUUUUCUUGUAAAAUGAAAAAAAAAAUUAUAGGUAAAAAAGAGUACCACACUCACCUCAAAAACUUAUCAAUUUCAAAUCAUUUAUUCAUUCUCGCACAAACAAAAUGCCGAAGUUACAAUUCUACUGGCCAUUAGCAAAAACAAAAGUGGAAAAUGUAAGUGUAAAACGUGUUUCAUUUUCUUCUUUAUGUGUUUUUCUUAAUUUAUAUUCUUGCAAAAUAUAAAAUAAUAAGAGUAAAACAGUAUGAUUCGCAUCCUGUGUUAAAUUGAGUACAUCUCAAUACAACACAUUAAAAUUCAUUUUAAUUAAUCCAUUUUAUAUCAUUCUUGUGUCAUUGGUUGCUCUUAGGGUUAAAUAUCAUUAUUCAGCAUUGAAGUAUCCAUAAAUCCUUCAAUGAUCCAAAUAUAAAUGAAAUAAUGAUUUAAAUUAUACCUGAUUUUUUAGAUUGUGUAAAAUUCCUUCUUGUCUUCAACAUCUUCUCCACAAACGUAUCUUAAGUGUGUACUUGAGAAGGCACUCCAACACUCUUGUCAGUUUUAUAUUUAGUGAAUUUUAAUAAAUCUAGAGUUGGUUUUUCUCUACCAGAUGAGAAAAUAGCCAAAAGAUAAUUUUUCAAUCCUUUUACCUCAUAUUUAUGAACCAAAAAGAGGGGAUUUGGUGAAUAGUUAUAAUUUAAAAACUACAAUAUCUCAAUACCAACCAUGACCUAGAACAUUAAUAAAAUAGUAUAAUAUAUUAUCAUAAAUACAAAUUUAUAUUUUAUAUCAUUUAAAAGCUUAUUUUUAAAACGAAAAAGUAUAUCAGAAAAGUUAGAGAAUACAGUAUCAAUAAAGUGCUAUGGAAACGGGAGCCAUUCGAUUAUGCUUAAGAAAAUGUCAAAGUUGCAGUUCUACCAUACUGGGCCCCAGCGAAAAUUAAAAUGUGCUUCAUUCUAAAAUAUAUAUUAAUGCUUGAUUCGACCCAACCGAAUGCCUUUUUCUUAUUUUAUUUUCUUGUAAAAUGAAAAAAAAAAUUAUAGGUAAAAAAGAGUACCACACUCACCUCAAAAACUUAUCAAUUUCAAAUCAUUUAUUCAUUCUCGCACAAACAAAAUGCCGAAGUUACAAUUCUACUGGCCAUUAGCAAAAACAAAAGUGGAAAAUGUAAGUGUAAAACGUGUUUCAUUUUCUUCUUUAUGUGUUUUUCUUAAUUUAUAUUCUUGCAAAAUAUAAAAUAAUAAGAGUAAAACAGUAUGAUUCGCAUCCUGUGUUAAAUUGAGUACAUCUCAAUACAACACAUUAAAAUUCAUUUUAAUUAAUCCAUUUUAUAUCAUUCUUGUGUCAUUGGUUGCUCUUAGGGUUAAAUAUCAUUAUUCAGCAUUGAAGUAUCCAUAAAUCCUUCAAUGAUCCAAAUAUAAAUGAAAUAAUGAUUUAAAUUAUACCUGAUUUUUUAGAUUGUGUAAAAUUCCUUCUUGUCUUCAACAUCUUCUCCACAAACGUAUCUUAAGUGUGUACUUGAGAAGGCACUCCAACACUCUUGUCAGUUUUAUAUUUAGUGAAUUUUAAUAAAUCUAGAGUUGGUUUUUCUCUACCAGAUGAGAAAAUAGCCAAAAGAUAAUUUUUCAAUCCUUUUACCUCAUAUUUAUGAACCAAAAAGAGGGGAUUUGGUGAAAGAUUUGAUUUUAUAUUUAAAUCUCUAGUGUUCUUUCUAUUUUUAUUUUUAUUUUAUGUCAUUAGAUUUAUAGUUGUUUUUUGCUAUAUUUUAGCUUUCGUCACAUGAUUUUGUUAGCAAUUAUGUGCCUUUCAUUGUUAUAUUUUUGGAUUAGAUCAUCAACAUUUUUCAGGGUUUCUUAUGAAUUGUCAUGAAAUUCUUUUGUACAGGCACUUACAUUCAUAUAUUUCUUUUUUUCCGCUGCAAUUUUUUUGUUUAAUUUUUGUGUUUUAAUAAAAGAAAAAAGUUUUCAAAUAACUUGCAUGUGAGAAAUAAUUAAUUAAAAACAAAUUUUUGUGUAUCCUCCAUUAACUAGGUCUUUGUUUUUGGCACUUGGAAUUUCGUUUGUUUGAAGUAUUGUGUGUGUAUAUAUAUUUUAAUUUUGCAUAUUCUUCUUAAGCCACGUCUAUUUUCACAUUUUUGCUUCAUUUAGACAUUUGGCAUUGCUUUCAAAACCAAUAAAAUUUGGGCGCAUUUGGUUUGUCUUAUAAAGAGAGUGACACUCUACUUGGACAUGCGGAGUUGAAAAUUGCCAAUUGGGAGAGGGAGAACUUGAUUGAAUGAACUACAAGAUGCAAUGAAGUGCAGUCUAUGCAUACAAUUGAAUAUCAUUAUCUAUUGGUUAUGAGAAGUAGAGGAAUAUAUUUGCAGUGUAGUUUUCAAAUUAUCGGGAUGUUAUACUGUUGUUAUCUCGGAGAGCGGAUUUACAACGGAAAUUUCAGGGGUGUUAAAAGCUUGACUCACAAAAUUAAAGCGAUAGUUUGAAUUGGUCUUAAAUUUGAUGGGUGUGGAUUUGGGCUGAUGCCUGAUAUUGUGGACACUGGGUUCGAGAGACAGAGAUGGAUCUGCUAUAGACCCGCCCAUUCCCAUUUGUCGGGUUUUGUCCAUUGACAAUUCAAACUUGAAAGUCGUCUUCCUCCCAUGGGGAACAAAGAGAGAAAUUUUCAGGACGUUUACGGGAAAAGGAAAGAGGGAAAAAAGCAAAAGACAAAAAGGGGAACCUCGUAGCUUCUACGAUACUUCCAAAACUCAAUGGGAUGUAUGCAUUGCCAUGUCCUCACCUUAUAGAAAGUCUGGUCAGCCCCUUUUGAAAUGAAGAGUAUUUGUCCCCCCCUUUUUUUAAUUUUUUUUUGGCAAUUCACAAAUAAUAUAUUGCACUUUGUUUGUAGUAUUAUUCUCAACUGAACAUGGGAUAACUCUUUUAAAGGGGUAGUUUAAAUUUUCUGCUACAAUUAUAACACAACAAAUUAGAUCUGAAAUAUUUUUUAAAAUUUCUUUCAAAAACAUAUGUGAGAGACAGAAAAAUUUAUAUUAGUAACUCGGGACUUACAAUUAAUUCAACCACUUGGAAUGGAAGUUGUCACCGUUGAGUACCGGUAAGGCAAGAGAAAUUGUAGAAUACCUCAAAUAUAUUACAACCAAUUAAUGCAUGUAUGAUAUGUGUAAUUGAAUUAAUUUAACCACCACUUGCAUGAUAGUAGUUCAAAAUAAAUAUACACAUGUCAUGGCAUCAUUGCUUGUUGUAUGGGUGAUAUGAUGCCUCAAAUGUAUUCUAAAAUUUCUCGUAAAGCAGACAUAGAUUAGCGUUCCAACCAAACAUUAGUCUUCCAUCUCUAAUAAUCAAAAUCAAUCCUAAUAAUUAUAGCCGUAAUAAAAAAUUUCACUAAAGAAACUAUAUUUCCAAGCGUUGUUUUUAAAAUACGGAUUCGAGAUUUUACAAUAUUGUAAAAGAUUUUUAUAAUCUGUAAAAUUAAUUUACAGCAUUGUAAGAGCUAUAUAUAUAUAUAUUCACGAACAAUUGUAUUUCGUAAAAACUUUAUAUGUUAAUCAAUAUUAUUCAAAUGUCCAGUAUCUUUUUUUUGAAUUUUUUGUCUUAAAAUUUUGUUAAAAAUGUGCCCAGCUGGAUCUAGUUAUGGCACCCGAUUUGUUGUGCUAUGUAAUAUGUGUUUAUUUUCCUGGAUCUAGUUAUGGCACCCGAUUUGUUGUGCUAUGUAAUAUGUGUUUAUUUUCAUUAUUAAUAGAUGUUGUAUAUAUCAACCUAGAUAUCUUGUCAAUUGAAGCAAUUGGUCUUAUGCAAGUCCAACAAAGUCGUAUAUGUAAUAUGUUGACAUUUAAGUUCGAACAUUAUAAAAUUCUAAAUUUUUUAUUAAAUUGAAGGUAUUGAAGAAGUAUGUAUCUGCAUUGCCCAUUUCCCCUGAAUUAUCCAUCACAAUUUCCUUUCUUCUCUACGUAGAGAUGCCGCGUUUUCGUGUAAUUCAUUCCACUGGAAAUUACACGGAAGGGGAAAGAAAGAGGAAAGUUCUUGGAUUUUUACUUUUUCUUUUUUCUUUUUUAAUUAUACAUACAAUUAAUUUACAUAUACAUAUAUAUAGACGGAUGAAGAAACCCCACCCCAGAAAGAGAGAAAAGUUGUAAUUAAUUAACAAUGUAAGAGUGAUGUGAGCUCAACUGCGAGAUGGGAAGAAGAAUGUAACACAUAAACACAGUGUGAGUGUCUGUCAAUUGUCAUGGCUAACUUGGAGAAGUUGUUUCAGGAAGCUUGCCAAAGAAACGAUGUCGAAGGAGUCAAGUCAUUAAAUUCAAAGCAUCCGAAUUUACUGGAUGAGAUUAUUAAAGCAUGCCAACGCUCGGAUGAUCCUCUGCUCAUCACCGCCUGCUUGCCUGGAAGCCUUGAAGUCGCUAAAGAAAUGGCAAGGCUGUGGCCUCAACUUGCCAGUAUUAAAAAUCAGCGAGGUGAAACAACCAUGCACUUACUUUCUACGGAUGGGGAUGCCGAGACGGUUCGGAUUUUCGGAGAGAUUAAUCGUGAACUGUGCCUUGAAGUAGACAACUCUUCAAUGAUACCGCUACACAGAGCAGCUUUGGAUGGUAAUUCUGAUGUUAUUAGGGCUUUAGUUUCUAUUUGCCCGGAGUCGCUUGAGAAGUUGACUUCAAAUGGAGAGACGGCCCUUCACCUUGCUGUGAAGAAGUCCCGAUCGGACGCCUUUGAAGCCUUGGUGGAUGAGGCUAAGAAUCACAGAAAAGAGCAUCUCUUCACUUGGAAAGACAAGGAGGGCAAUACAGUAUUGCACCUCGCCACACUUAACAAGUUAAAGCAGGUAAGCUCUGUCUCUUGCAAACACAUUUUUUUGAAUUUUGAUUGCCAAAACAUAACGCAUGCCUUGACAAUCCUGUCGCGUUCAUUGCAGAUAGUGGAGCUACUCAUCCGUGAGAAUUCCAAUAGGCGCAUAAUGAUUCGAAUUAAUACCGUGAAUAAGGAGGGACAAACAACCUUACAGUUAUGCAAUGCUAAUUCUCAGGAUUCUGCUUUCAAGGAAAUAGGCUGGAUCAUUCAACGAGCUAUUGCUCAGCAAUCUCCGCAGCUCCCUGCAGAUGGAGCCGCCAAUAGCAGCAGGAACCAAACACGGUGGCCCAUGCAGACAAGAAACGUGUUAUUGAUGGUAGUAGUAACGAUUGCUGCAGCAUUUUUCAUGGUAGCUUGCCAUUUGCCAGAUUCCUUAGUCAGAGAGGAUACUCUUGCCGGUAAAAGUCUUUAACUAAAUUAUUAUUUUUCUUUUGGUAGUGUUUACAAUUUGCUAAGGAGGAUUAUCUUGCAGUUAAAACAUUGCAUGCUGAUGAGGAUGACGUACUCAGUAAGUUGCCAACCGUUGUCUACAUCAUGAUUUUCAACUCUGCUGGGUUCUUGACAACCAUGUUUGCCAUUGUAUUGCUCGUAUGGCCGUUGCAUUUGAGAACAUUUGUGCUCUUUCUUGUAAUCUGCACGGCCAUCGUUUAUAUUCUCUUAGUGGACGAGAUCAUACCUAAAUUCUAUGUGAAAGUUGGGAAAUCAAGCAUCUUAAGCAAUGGGUUGGUGUGGUCAUUAGUCCUUGCCCUCAUUUUGUUCGGAAUGUCUAUACUAAGUAUGGGGAAAUUCACUUUGUCCUUUUGGCGCUUCAUUAUCCGUUUGUGGAUGAAUAGAACCAAUCGCAGGGGCAACAGUCAUGAAGAUCUUCGCGAAAUCACUGCCCUAUAGUUAUCAAGAGGCUUAAAUCAUUGCCGACUACCUGGUUAAUUUAGCCCUUGCUUGUCAUAAUUUCACUUGGUGGGAUGCUCCGCAUCCUUAAAUGUCAAAGAUGCUUUUUAUGAUGCUAAUGGUUUCCCCUGUCAUCAAUUUUACAUAGUUUAUGUUGUUUCAUCUCCUUUUAUUUCUCCAUUGUAAUAGACUUUUCGAGAUUUUUAAGGGAUUUAAGAGUGUAAGUGACAUAUCAUGUUGCCAUGAGAAGCUUCAAAUAUGUCUUCUAACAAAAGGAAGUUAGCUUGCAUAUAAUGAUCUCUUUCUAAAUGGGACACUCGUUAGUUUACGCACAAAAGAAAAAAUCACUAUUAAGAUUCUAAUCUGUUUCAAGACACUGGCUUUCUCUCAUUUCCAGUCCUCAUUUCUCUCUCUGCCUUUACCCGGACAGCCAUUUAGUCUCAGGGCUCAUCUUGCACAGGAGUUCUUUUCUCAUUAACCCAGAACACGGCUUUGUCCCUCUUACAGACAAGCCAAUUCUUGCGCCCUUUAAAUGCCUUAAUGUUUUGAAAUAUUUGUUCAGGUUUACGAAUUGAGCAAUCUUCUCAUGGGUUUCUAUUUUGUUCCAGCUUUGACUAUAGCAACUAGAAUUACAUUUAUAUACAAUCCUAUGACGAAGCAAUUUGCUGUACUUCCUCUACCUAGCGGCCAAAUUGUCCAAUGACGUUAGUUUAGCUUAUGAUCCUGUAAAGUCACCCCACUAUAAAUUUGUCUAUUAUAAACUUGUAUGUGUUGAUGGUUUUCAAUCAUCUGUUCCUGUAGAAGAUGAUUACCUCAAUUAUGAAAUUGAAAUAUACUUGGGGGCUCUCUGGCUGAUGAAACAUAAUUAGCUUGAGGGGUUAAUUAUAUAUUUCAGGCCAUCAAGCUAAAACACAAAAAGACUCUUCUCAGUCAGGGGUUAUAUCUCACACAUGAACCCAAAUACAUAACUUGUCAAUUAACACAAUUGGUUACGUGAUUGGUUACUCUUUUUCCUCUAGCAGUACCCAAAAACUCUGUUUCAUUUGUCUUGCUGAAAUUAGCCCUACUUCUGAUCAUUGAAGUUAUAUAGAAUUACUGGAUCGGUGGCUGCAAUGUUUAUGUACCCAGGUGAAUUUAGGUAGUUAUAAACUAAAGUAGAACUACUAGUGAACCAACUAUAAAAGCUUUAUUGAUAACCAUGCCUGCUGGCAUGAUAGUUUUUCAGACUCUGUUCAUAUUUCACAUUCGUAAUUUAUUAAUACAGCAGUGUCAUGCAUUAAACACACCAGACAUCUUAAUAAUAAAAAUAGGAACUUAAUUGUUUGCUCACACCACAUCCAUAAUGAGCUUAAUUAUUGCAAUAAUGUGUCGCAUGCCAAAGAAAAUAUAUCAAGUUAUCUUCCAGGAACCUUAAAAUGUUGAGUAGAAUGAGCUCAAGUGAGGCUUUGUGAGGCCAGAUAUUAUGCACAUGUAAGCACCGAGCAUUGAAAAUGCAGAUACAAGAAGCAAUGGCCUAAGUGGAAGCUUAUUGAAGAGAAUCAUCAUUGUAGAAACCGAAGGGCACUUCUUUACUAGACACCUUAAGUUUCUGCCCAAGAUCUUUGACCCAGACUCCUAGAUGCUUCUAUAGAUGAUUUGAAGAAACUUUAACCAAGAACUUAGAGGAACAAAUCAACAAUGGUUUAAGAAUCACAAACAUAUUAAAGGCUUAAAGAAUCAACAAACAGAAAGAAUAAAGAACAGGAGUGAUUAACAUGGUUAAGCUAAUUCUCAUUAGCCUACAUUCACGGAGGAACAAGAUAACAUGCUUUUAUUGAUUGAUCUUCAAGCGACAGAGAUUUACAGAGUAUAUUUCAUAGAAUUUCAUCACCUCUCUUCAGAGUUGUAACUCCUUAUAUACUCCUCAGCUCGUCACCAGUUUGUUACACCAGAAUCAGCUACAUCCAGCUGCUUAUAACCACCUGGGUGCUGAUUCUAGAAACUCACGUGAGAAUGACACUUCAUCAAUGACUUUUAACAACCUUGUUAAUAGCUUCCCAUUCACGUGCGUCUCAUGUGCUGCAUUAAUCCAUAAACGAUAACCUAUAACAUUGUUUUAGUAAGUGUUGAAUUUGAACAACCAAAACGCACUUUCUCAGGUCGUUUCGAAGCCAUUGAAUUGAUUUCACUAGUUACAUUACAAAUCUCCACCUUGAAACAAUUCAUCCCUGUUCAUCUUUCUCCUCAAAUUCAUGCAAAUUAAAAACUGCAUAUUCCAGCUAUGUCCAUGCAGGUCUUGAACUUAGUUGUAGGUACCACCUUUGUAAGCAUAUCAGCAGGAUUGUUGCUGGUAUGUAUCUUUACCAUCUUCAUAACUCCCUUAGAUAUUACAUUCUUUAUAAAAUGUAGCUUGAUGUCGAUAUGCUUGGUUUUCUCAUGAUGAGCUGGAUUUCUGCUCAAAUAGAUGGCACUCGAGCUGUCACAGUGGAUGUCAACAACCUUCUGUAACUCACUGACCAAGCCUUUAAGUUAUAGAGCCUCCUUGACAGCUUCUGAGGCUGUAGUGUACUCAGCCUAUGUAGUUGAUAAGGCCACAGCAUGUUGCAGACUUGCUUUCCAGCUUAUUAGGCAUCCAUUCAACAUAAACAUGUUUCCAGUUAAUGACCUCCUUCUGUCUAAAUCUCCAGCGUAAUCAGAGUCAACAUAGCCCCAUAAACCAGCUUUAUUUUCCUCUUGUUUCUUUCCAUACAUCAGCUCAUACUCCAAAGUUCCAUUCACAUAUCUCAUCACUCAUUUAGCUGCCUUUCAAUGCUAUUUCCCAGGUGAUGCCAUAUACCUGCUUACCAAGCUUAGAGCAUGUGAAAUAUUUGGUCUUGUGAGGACCAUUGCAUACAUCAUACACCCCACUGCAUUGGCAUAAGGCACUUUUAACAUCUCUUGCUUUUCUUCACUUAUCUUUGGACACUGCUGGUUCGAGAGUUUGAAAUGAGAGGCCAAAGGAGUUAACACUGGUUUACAGUAAUUCAUCCCAAAUGUGUUGAGUACUUUUUCCAAGUACUUUUUCUGAGAUAAGAACAUAGUUCCAUUUCUUCUAUCUCUUGUGAUUUCCAUGCCCAAAAUCUUUUUGGCAUGUCCCAAAUCCUUCAUAUCAAACUCAGAGUUCAGCAUCUGUUUUAAGGCUUCAAUUUCCUCCCCCACUUUACAAGCAAUCAACAUAUCAUCCACAUACAGUAGUAGGUAUAUGUGACGAUCUGAAUCUAUUUUCUUGUAGUAUACACGACAAUUAAAAUUACACCUCAUAAAUCCAUGUGACACCAUGAACUCAUCAAACCUGAGGUACUAUUGCCUUGGGGAUUGCUUCAAGCCAUACAAUGACUUCUUCAGUAAGUAGACAUGAUCAGGGUGUUCAGAGCAUACAUAUCCCUCAGGUUGAGUCAUCAGAAUCUCCUCUUGUAAUCUGUCAGGUAAGAAGGUUGUUUUGACAUCGAGUUGAUUAAGUUCCAUGUCAUAUAUUGUUGUUAAAGCUAAUAAUACCCUUAUUGAGACAUGUCUGACCACUUGUGAGAAGACUUCUUUAAAAUCAACCCUUUCUUUUUGUGUAUACCCUUUUGCUACUAGCCUAGCUUUGAAUCUCCUAGGCUCAUCAACUGUCAGCCCCUCUUUCAUCUUGAAAAUCCACUUGCACCCAACAACCCUUAUUUUCUCAGGUUUCUUUACCAAUUCCCAGGUGUUGUUCUUGUAUAAUGAAUUUAUCUCAUCAUUCAUAGCCUUCUGCCACUCUGAUUUAUAUGAACUCUACAUAGCCUCUCUAUAGCUUUUGGGCUCAUCUUCAUCAAUCUCAUGUGAUGCAGCCAGUGCAUAUACAAUGAGGUCAGUGUAACCAUAUCUUUGGGGAUGUCUUAUUUGCAUUGUCUUUCCAUCUUUAGUCAGAUGAUAGUCUCUAAGUUGAGUUUGUGUAUGCUCUUAAGAUUGUGCCUCAAUGUUCCUACUACUGUCAUCUUCACCCCCAUCAGAAUCUACAGCUUCUUGAGAGGGCUUCUGAUCUGAAUACUCCACCUCAAACUGUAUACUUUCAAGUGUUUUACCCUGAGGUUUAACAUUAUUAUUUAGUGACCUUUUGUUGAGCACAAUUUCUUCAUUAAUGAUCACAUCCCUGCUGAUGAUGCACUUUGGUAGGGAUAAAUUUGUGCAACAUAACUUGUAAUCCUUUACACCAUCUGGAUACCCUAUAAACUUACCCCUUAGAGCUCUUGGAGAUAAUUUCCCUUGCUUAACAUGUGCAUAAACAUCAUAUCUAAAGGCUUUAAGGUCAUUAUAGUUACCAGGUUUUCCAAACCACAUUUCAAAUGGUGUUUUAAAGUCGAUUACAGCAGAUGGGCUAAGAUUCACUAGAAGACAAAAUGUUAGCAAGGUUUUUGCCCAUAGCCCCUUAAGAAUUGUGACUAUAUCAUCAUACAUCUGACUUUCUCUAUUAAAGUCUUGUUCAUCCUCUCAGCUAGGCCAUUUUGUUUUAGAGUUAACCUUACUGUUCUAUAUCUUGUAAUCUCUUCAUUUGCACAGAAACUAUCAAACUCUUGAUUACAAUAUUCAAGGCCAUUGUCUGUCUUUAGUUUUUUAACCAUUUUGUCAGUUUGAUUUUUUACCACAGCUUUCCACUCUCUAAAUUUCCCAAACACCUGAUAUUUAGCUUUCAGCACAUACAGCAAAACUCUCCUAGAGUAGUCAUCUAUCAUGGUCAUAAAGUAUCUAUUCCCUCCCAGAGAUGGAACCUGAGAUGGACCCCAAAGGUCUGAAUGUAUAUAUUGCAAAAUUUCAGUGGUCUUAUGUAUUGAUUUCUUAAAGCUAUUCCUAGUAAAUUUUCCUAGAAUGCACUCUUCACAGAAGAUUAGCUCCCCAAUCUUAUCAUUCUCCAGAACACCUUGUUUUUCAAGUUCUUUCAGACCUUUGAUACUCAUAUGCCCAAGCCUUAAAUGCCAUAGCUUAGUUUUGUCUAUCUCAAUGCUUUCAAUGGCAUUAGAGACCCCUGUUACAGACUCCCCAUCUAAGACAUAAACCUCAUUAUUUCUUGUUCCUUUCAUAAUCAGUGUGGAACCAUUUAGAAUCUUCAACUCCCUUGAUUCAAGUUUAAUGCUACAUCCCAUUUGAUCCAUCAUUCCCAAGGAGAUCAAAUUCUUUUUAAGUUCUAGAAUAUGUCGUCUAACUUCCUUUAUGGACUCAUCAUGUAGCUUAAGGUGGAUUUUACCCAUCCCAAUGACUUUACACACUGAAUUAUUACCCAUCAUUACUCUUCCUCCAUCAAAUUCAUGAUAAUAAGAAAAAUAACUCUUGUAUGGACUCAUAUGAAAAGUGCAACUAGAGUCAAGAAUCCAAUUACCCUUUUACAUAUCCUCAGUAGUAGCACACACACUUGCUGACUCAUAUCUUUCCUCUUCUUCAGCAGUAGCUGCAUAUCUAAUUUUCUCCAUUUUCUUAUUCUUUAAUUCUGGGCAAUCCUUCUUAAAAUGUCCUUCCGUAUGAGAAUGAAAGCAUUUCAAGUCCUUUGGCUUAGUUUUAGUCUUGAUUGCUUUUUAUUCUUAGCUGCAUUUUUAUUCUUAUCAAUUUUCCCAUUUACUGUUAACCCUACUCCACUUUCUAUACUCACAGAUUUUUCUUGCAACCCUCUAGUAUUUAAGGCUGCCUUCACCUCAUCCAAAGACAAUGUCUGCCUCUUAUACAUUAGGGCAUCCAGUACCGUACAUCCGCCUUGGCCGUACAGCAAAGAAAAAUAUUUUUCAAUGUGAUUAAAAAAUUAUUAAUAAAAUUUUUGUACUUUUUAUUAUUUUUAAAUAUUUUUCAUAUAAUAAAUAAGUAUUUUAUAUGCCAAAGACAGAUUAUCAAGCAACCGGCCUAUUUACUUCUUUUUGAAUUUAAAAUUUUUUGUGUGGAGAGAUUUUUUAUUAUUAUAAACUGCUGUACCGUACAUCCGCCUGCAACCCUCUAGUAUUUAAGGCUGCCUUCACCUCAUCCAAAGACAAUGUCUGCCUCUUAUACAUUAGGGCAUCCACAAAAUUGGAGUAUGAUGGUGGGAGUGAACUUACCAAGAGCAGAGCUUUACUUUCAUCAUUGAGGAUUUCAUCAAUAGUCUCCAAGGUGUCACACACUCUGUUGAAUUCUUUAAUAUGAUCAUCAAAAGACGAUCCCCCAACAAUCUUUAGAGUAAACAUCCUUUUCUUGAUAUGAAGUCUGUUAGCUAGAGACUUUGUCAUAAAAAUUGUUUCCAGUUUUGCCCACAAAUCAGCCACUGUUUUCUCAUUGGCAACCUCUCUAAUAACAUAGUCUCCAAGACUCAAGAUUAUUGUGCUUCUUGCCCUUUUAUCUAUAUCAGCAACCUGUUGUGGAGUUAGUGACGAUAAAGUUUCCAUUCCCUCUUUCUUGGUGACUGGUUCUAAAGCAUCUCCUAGUCCUUGAGUUAUCAAUAAAGCCUCCAUUUUAACUUUCCACAUAUUGAAAUCAUUCUUGCCUGUAAACUUCUCUAGAUCAACUUUCAGAUUAGCCAUACUAGAAUCUGAUUAAAGACCCGGCUGUGAUACCAAUUGUAGAAACCGAAGGGCGCUUCUUUACUUGACACCUUAAGUUUCUGCCCAAGAUCUUUAACCCAGACUCCUAGAUGCUUCUAUAGAUGAUUUAAAGAAACUUUAACUAAGAACUCAGAGGAACAAAUCAACAAUGGUUUAAGAAAAUCGCAAACAAAUUAAAGGCUUAAAGAAUCAACAAACAGAAAGAAUAAAGAACAUGAGUGAUUAAUGUGGUUCAGCUAAUUCUCAUUAGCCUACAUCCAUGGAAGAACAAGAUAAUAGGCUUUUAUUGAUUGAUCUUCAAGCUACAGAGAUUUACAGAGUAUAUUUCAUAGAAUUUUCUUCACCUCUCUUCAGAGUUGUAACUCCUUAUAUACUCCUCAGCUCGUCACCAGUUUGUUACACCAGAAUCAGCUACAUGCAGCUGCUUAUAACCACCAGGAUGCUGAUUCCAGAAACUCACAUGAGAAUCACGCUUCAUCAACGACUUUUAACAACAAAAAAGAUGGUCAGGGGUGUCGGAUUUCCCGACGUUAACCCUUCGACACUCAAGUCAGAGAUCUUAUGUGAUUUUCUAUAUUGAAGAGAUUAUAUCUAACUCAAAAAGUCCAACCCUUGUUCUGGAUCUUUUUCCCGCUUUUAUAGGCGAUCACGAGCAUCGGUUAUUGUGGCCAUUAUCUAAUUAAAUGCAUUGAUUGUAUCAUUUAAGUGUGUGGGUUAAUAUGUCCAUUUAUACAGUUAUUGGUCAGCCGUUGUAACGCCUGAUUAUGCCUUAAACACGUCUGGAUGUUACAGACCAAUUCCCGAAAGGGACUCAUUGUCUUAACCUGGGAAAAUCAUGUGACCAGCUCAUGGUCUGCUCUAGUCAUACUGGUCGUGUUUGCUACAUGCGACUAGAUAAGUGUUUUAUACAUGCGACCAGAUAACGAAACUCUCCUCGACUUGGCUAAAUCUUAAUACCCAAACAUAAGUCCCCCCCAGUUUUUAGUGCUUUGAGUGAAAUGAAAUAUAACUAGAAACUAUAUACCUGGUUACGAGUCAGUAGUUUCUUUACUCAAACCUAGUCAGGUUUGCAUUCUCUCGUAUUAAAAGCACGUGAUGUGGCUAAACCCGAUCCAAGCGUUGAAAAAGCGAAGUGGUGGCCCUUGGGUUUAUCAAUACAUCUUAUUAUAUCGAUAUGUCUUUUUGAAUCCUUAUUAACGCCAUCUGAAAUGUUGUUUCCCUUUCUAUAAACUCGAGAUAAACUUUUCAAUUAUUCUUCUCCCUUUCCCUCAUCUGAGACUUCGAAUGAGAGCUUUUCCUUUUACAGUCAGAUUUGCAGUACUUGCCUUCUCAGUUACCAUACUUACAGGUAUUGAACUCAUAACUCUAAUCUCACUUGAUUGCCCCUUAUAUCGCUUUUUGUUUCUUUUUGUUUGGGUUUUUAUUCUAUCCACCAUGAUGCCUAGAAUGAAAAGAACAUCAUUAAACCCUGGUAGUGUGUACGAAUUGAAUGCCCUGCCUGAUCAUCCUAGUGGGUUAGGUUCUAGCCCUCGUAGGUCUGUGGAAGGGAUCGAGUCGUCUAGGAUUAGGGAACUUCCUUGGAGGAUGUCCCUCUGAGAGUGUUGAUGAGAUAGAGACGGAUUCCAAUAUGGAUCCUGGUACUAACAUAGUACCGUUUAUUGAUGAAAGUGAAGUCAGUUAUGAAAGCUCCUCGGAGGAGUCUGAUUUAGAGAAAAUUAAGAUUAGUCAUAAGGCUGGAGCUGAGUCUUAUCCCUUUGAUUUCACGAAUUGUGAGACCACUCAUGAAGAUCUGCAUAGGCUUAGGAUGGAAUACAGCAUUCCAGAUGACAUUGAGCUAAGAAUUCCUGGUAAAGGUGAUAUUCCCAAGAGGGUUUGUGACUUUGUAUUUAUAAUGUUUUAAGCUCGGUGUUAGGCUAUCACUCCAGCCUUACUUUACCAAGAUUUUAGGAAGAUUGCACCUAUCACCUAGUCAACUCAACCCUAACGGAUGGAGAGUCCUUUCUGGCCUAUUUGUUCUAUACUGGAGAUGUAGGAUGAUUGUGCCUUCUUUAAAAGAAAUAAAAUAUUUGUAUCAACUCAGAAGUAGUCCAAAAGACACGGGCUGGUAUUACCUCAUGAGCAGUUCAAAACAAAGGAAACCCAUCAUAGAUCUCCCAACCUCUGGUGCAAAUUGAAAGAAUAAUUUUUUCUUCAUCGGAGGUAACUGUGGUCAAGUAGUCUCUACUUCAAAAGGAGAAAUACAUGUUCCUUCUCGCUUUUGCACCCCUGGUUGCUCGCUUUUCACUGUUCUUCCUUUACUAUGUUUAUUGUUUUUUCUGAUCUUGAUUUUUAUGUUCCAGCUUCUUGGAGUCUGAUCUACAAGAUCAAGGAGAAACCAGAAUUGCAUGUUGAAACAGCACUAGCUAACGCAAGCUCGUAUAGGGACUUACUGUCUAUUAAUAACCUGGUCAAUUCUCAUCUAAUAUAUGGUACUUCUGAAGAUAUGAGCAGCAUUCUCGAGCGGAUGAAAAAAUGUAGUCGAACAGACUACACCCCAAGCAGCUCAAUUGCUCCACUUAAGAGAUCACGGUCUUCUAAAGCUGCUUCUCUUGUCUAAACCCUUCCUCAUCCUUCUCCUGGUGAGCCAGAAGAUAUAGCAGAAAAGUCUUCUGCUUGCGAGCUUCCCGCUCCCUCUAGAACCCGAUAUAAGACUGCUUUGCAAGGUUAGAUGAUUGAACUCCCAAGCUCUUUUAAAAAAGACUUUGACAAGUUUGUGAAGCAGGAGUUUAUUGCUGAGCAGAAUAAUCGUCAUGCACCUAAGUUGUACAACACUAUGCAGCGGUGCAUCUACCAGCUUUCUACCAUCAUUUCCUCUCUACAGGUCUAAAGUUGGCAAUUAUGACAAGAAACUGAAGGUCGAAUGAUAAAGUUGGGAUGGAGAAAGAGCAAUCGACCAAACUUGGUUUAAUGAUCGAGAAGCUCAAGGAUAAAGUUGUUUUGUCUGAAUCUACCUCUUCGCACCUUGAAUGUGAACUUUCAGUCAUGAGGAGUGAGCUGAUCAACUAUAAGAAAGAUCUCGACACUCAAAGGUUUGCUUUCGAGCGUUAACUUGAAGCAGAGAUGCACCGCCUCCAAAGAAAAAUUGAUUCUUUGGAAAAGUGGAGUGUCACUUAGUACAACUCUAGAGUAACAUUCUGUUACGAAUGCAUUAUGCUUGUACUCAAGAAGGAAUAUCCAGAGUUAGACAUGAGGAAACUUGAAGUUGGGAACCUGUUCAAACCUUCACCCUUUCUACUCGCAGAGCCUGUGCUAGCUUCAACCUUACAAUAAAAGCUUCAUAUUUCGCUUGGUUGUUAGUGGCUUUGAAUUCGAAUUUUAUUGCACACGAAACCUCUUCACCUUCUGGGCUGACUAGGAUUACUCUUGCUCAUGCUCCUUGUUCUCCACUAGAACCAUCAACCAUUACCACCCAUGUUUCACUGACUCUCUCCUUGUUCGCUCUGUCAUCACUUUGAAGACCUUAAUUUGCGGAUGUGUUCGCUUGGUCACACGACAAAAUGUUAGGAAUUGAUCCUGCAAUCGCUUGUCAUAGACUGGCGAUAAAGAAAAAAGCUCGACUGGUGAGGCAAAAAAGAAGAUGUAUGACUACUAAGAAGUGGGGUAAUGUUUUCAAAACCUUUACGAUGGAGGCUAGUUAAUGGUUAAAUGAGGAAAACAGGGCCGUAAAAAGAAUUGACUUGAAACCAAUAGCAAAAGUGUAUGUUAAAAUUUUAAAAUCUAGACUGAUGCCCACAACACAAGCCAUCAUUGUAUCUCAAAGAAGAAGAACUAGAAGAGAAAGAAGAGGAACAUAGUAUAGAAGAAGAAUCCGCAGAGGAGCAAGAUGAGGAACCUCAAGUCGCGCCUCCUAAACGAGAAAGAAAGCACAUCAUUAAAGUUGAUGAAGAGGACGACCAAGAUAAUGAGCCCUCAGUUUCAGUAUUUCCAAGCAAAGACAAGGAAAAAUUCAUGAUUGAUGAAGACUCAGAAGAAGAUCAAGAUGAUAUUGAUGCAGAAAUUAAAGCAGUUGCCACCAGAGCUACCAAAACUACUGAGGCAAAGAAAAGUUUACUGUAUAUUAUUGCUGAAAUCAUAUAUGAGGAAACUGCUACAACAACUCUUCCAGCAACCAUUGUUCAGGACUUUCCCAUCAAAUCUCCUAGCCGAACUCCCUGGCCAUCAAGCAAGCGUAAAGGGGCACAACCCUCUAGAGAUGCUGUAGUAGUGCAAGCAUCAGAAGAAUCAGAACCUAAGAAAGCAAAGUCUGAUUAGUCCGCACUUCAAGAAGCUACUGGUACCACACCAACCAGUCCAAACAAGAAGAAAAAGAAAUCAGUUGUUUUCCAUAAAUCUCACCAAGGAAGAGUGCCUGAAGUGGAGCCCAAAAGUAGUAAUUUUGCUCUAUUAGUGCUGUAGCAUAGCCCUCCAACAACGAGGAAGUAUCCUUUGUCAACCUAUUCUUUUUCAAUUUCUAAACUUUUUUAUUUUAUUUUCUUUUUUUGUUUCUAGUUUCUUCUGUAUUGUUUGUAACUUUACUUUCAAAUAUCUAUCUGUAUGUUUUAGUUUAGAAUAUGUGCUUGUGAGGACACAUCACCUCAUAAGUUUGGGGGGGGGGGGGGUUNNNNNNNNNNNNNNNNNNNNNNNNNNNNNNNNNNNNNNNNNNNNNNNNNNNNNNNNNNNNNNNNNNNNNNNNNNNNNNNNNNNNNNNNNNNNNNNNNNNNNNNNNNNNNNNNNNNNNNNNNNNNNNNNNNNNNNNNNNNNNNNNNNNNNNNNNNNNNNNNNNNNNNNNNNNNNNNNNNNNNNNNNNNNNNNNNNNNNNNNNNNNNNNNNNNNNNNNNNNNNNNNNNNNNNNNNNNNNNNNNNNNNNNNNNNNNNNNNNNNNNNNNNNNNNNNNNNNNNNNNNNNNNNNNNNNNNNNNNNNNNNNNNNNNNNNNNNNNNNNNNNNNNNNNNNNNNNNNNNNNNNNNNNNNNNNNNNNNNNNNNNNNNNNNNNNNNNNNNNNNNNNNNNNNNNNNNNNNNNNNNNNNNNNNNNNNNNNNGUUUGGGGGGGGGGGGAGUUAUGUUCUAAGUGUGUUCUAGUUGUGUUAUAAGUAUGUUUCAAGUGUGUUAAAGAGUAUGUAUGUAAUUUAGUUUAUUGUUGAUAUAAGAGUGAAUGUGUGAUGUGUGAAAAAAUUAAAUUUUAAGCUAAAAAAAAUUGAAUGUGUGUGAUUAGGUGUAUAGCUUGGUUAUUCAGUGGUUGUUUUUUAUUAAAGGACACCUAAUAAAGAUGAUCUGAGUGUUAAAUAAUAAGUUACCUUCAAUUAAAGAUAGUUGUGGACAAAGGUUGAGUUUGUCUCAACAUUUCUUUUUGGUUGAAUUUUGUGAGUUUGUUGUGGCAAGACUUAGUUGAAUGAUUAAUAGAAAAUAGUUCAAGUUUGGGUGAAUUUAGAAACUUUUUUAGAAUUUAGCGCAAACUGUGUUGACAUGAAAUAAAUUAUGCUACAAUGGCUCAGUUGCUGAGUAAUCAAGGUUGUGUGUGUACCCCACAUGUAGACUUAAGUAAAAAGACAGCAACACUUGUGAGUAUUGUUGUAACAAAAAUGAUAAAAAAUAAAAAAAAAUUUAAGUCCUCUAUCUAGUAUGUUGAGGAACCAUGUUUGUUCAUGAACCCCAUGUCCAGCCUUGAGUAAGAGGUGUCUGAAGAUAAAGGCCACUGUAACAGCAUCUUGACUGCUACUGUUGCAGCCACUCUAAUUUGUACAUUGAUGAAAUAAUUGGAUGUCAUCAGUAACCUUGAUAGAUAUUCACAUGAAAAAUUUAUGUCACACUAGAGUAAUUAUGCUAAAACGUUUUAUUGUUAUAACACAGUUUGCAGUUUUUAUAACCUAUGUUUCCCCUAUAAAUAAGAAUGUCUUCGAGAUGUAUUAAAUGAUUGAGUAUUGUAGUAACAACUAUGAAAUUUGAUGAGAAUGCACACAAGCACAUAGGAUAUAAUUAAACCUAAGUCUAGCAUUGGAUCUGUUAUUGGUAGUCUUAUAUGAAGAGAAAGAAAUCUGAGGGUUGUGAUAAAUCAAAACAAUCUAGAUGACAUAGCUUAUCUAUUUGUUCAUUGCAUGAUUGUGUGUUUAAGGGUUAGGUCUAUUGAUAUUACUUGAGGUUAAGUAAUGGAUUAAGUUUAGAGGUGUAAUAAAUUUAUGAAAUGAGAGUUAUCAUGGUGCUUUUAUGCUUGAAUCAACAUUACUUAGAGAGUAAAUGAUAUGUUUUUGCUGCAUUUUAGUUACAUUUUGCAUAAGUAGUCAUUUAAGUUUAAUUUCAAUAAAAUUCAUGGGUUUUUAGAUUAUUGUGUGCUUUGAUUAUGUGCAUAAUUGUAGGUGACCAAAAAGCUCAAAUUUCAUGGAUGGAACAAUGCAGCAGCAGUCAUGCAAAGUUACAAAAGAACUUGGAUGCAGUGGAAUUAAAUUAAGUCUGGAAUAUUAAAGAUGCUGGAGCAAUAUGUUGUAGCAUUGUUGCUGCAGUAACGAUUGGAGCAACGAUAAACCAGAUUUCACUCGUUAGAUAGAAGAUUACAAUCUAAAUAAGAGAUUCACUGUCAUACGUUUCUUGUAACCCUAAUUUCGACUUAUAAAAGGAGUACAUUACAACAAAAAAAGGGGUCAUCAUUGGAGAAGAGAAAUUAAGAGACAACAAAAGAAAAAAAAAAAGGAUUAAGAGAGAAUUGGGGCCGCACUUAAGGAAUCUGAGAAGAGCAUCGAGGGGAUUCAUAAGAACACGUGGAUUUUAACUUUAUUUCUUAUUCUCUUGUUUUUAUCUUGUUCUAAUGAGUUGUUUGAUUGCUGAAAAUAUUUUCGUUUUUGUUUUAUCACAAACUAUGAACUUGUGGUUGAGUGAUAAAUAUGAACUUGUGGUUGAGUGAUAAAUAAUUUUGAUGGUUAAUUGACUGAUUAUGUGAGUUGCUUUAUGUUUGCUAUAGCACGUUGAUUUGAUAAUACUUAUUUCAAUUUACGAUUUUGGUUGACCACCCAUUUAGUAAUACUAGAUAAGAAAGAGCUUAAAAAAGGCCUAACUUAGUGGAACAUAUUAAAGCAAUACUUGGUUUUAUAUUUUUGGUUCGGUUGCUACAACACUGGGUAGAAUCCUUAUGCACCCUCAACUGUCGCUUGUUAGAUAUCUUAUAUCUUGAUGCAACUUAACAGCGACCAAUUGCUAUGCCAACAUAAGAUGUAACAUUACACGUUUAGGUUCUAAUUACCCUACAAAGUGAAUCCAUAUGCUUAGUUCAUCAUAAGUUUUAGAUUAAGCAUGAUCUUUUUCGAAUCAAGUUAAACUCAACAUAAGAAACCCAAACAUAGUCAAAACCAUUAAGUGAGUUUAAUCACUCAACUACUUCAUUCUCAUCAAUUAGUCUCUUGUUUUAAAGUUGAAAUUCUUCUUCAUCACAUUUUAUUUAUUGCCUUGUUAAUUUUAGGAAAUCAAUUUUAUCAAUUGUUCUUUUAUAAUUAAGUUAAAAUUGCACUGAUUAGGUUGCUGUAGCAAUUCCUAUAACAUCAAUCCAUGUGGAGACGAUUUUGAAUAUUUAUCAUUAUAUUACUUGUUGUGUAUACUUGUACAUUGACACUCAUAGCGAUAGAAUUCAAACAUCAAUGGCAUAGGAUCAUAUGUCUUAAGCUUGAACUUCAUUGUGAUUUCAAUUUUCGAAGUAUCUAUAUCAAUAACUUGAGCUAUCUUCUCCACCAAUUCGGCGCAUGUUGUCAAUCGUGGUAUUAUUAUCCCUUUAGCCUUAGGACCUUUGAACUUAUACUCAUUUUGUUCAAUCCAUUUACCAUUGAAGAGAAUAGGCACACGUACCAAAAAUCAUAUCUGUUGAUACAAUAAAAACAAUAAUAUCUAAUUUCAUAUAUAAGUAACUACAUGACCUACACAACUUACACAACCUAACGAUUACAUUACUUAUAUAACCUACACGACCUACAUGACUAUAUUACUGACAUAACCUACAAGACUUACACGACUAUAUUACUUACAUGACCUACAUGACUACAUGUCUACAUGACUUACACAAUUGAUUACAUAAUGUACACGAUGUCAAAAGGAAUACACGACGCACAAUAUUUUCACCAUAAAUAAAUUAUAUUGUUAAUAAUUAAACAACUUGCACUGCGUUUAUUUCUACAUAUAAGGAAAAAUUAUGGAUAAUUGAAAAUAAAACAUUAUUAUAUGAGGAAAAUUUCCUUAUUAACAUACCUAAAACUUUCUAAAUUUUCUAAACUUUGAAAAUAAAACUUUCUAAAUUUUCCUAAAAAAUAAAAAACUUAAAACCCAACAAUAUUAACAUACCUUAUUAGGUUGUUUAAUGAGUAAUGCACCUCCUUUCAAUUAAAAAAAAAAAGUGUGGAAGUUAAAGAAGUGAAUACAUAAUUGUAUUUGUGUAAGAAUUUAUAAGAGAUAUUGAGAGAUUUUAGGAGACUUUGAAAGAAUUUUGGUAAUAAGAGAUUGGAGUGAAAGAACUAUGAAAACAAUGAAGUGGAGUGAAUUUGAUGCAUUCAGUAAGGGCAUUUCAGACUUUACACACAUUUGUUAGGGUAUCCAUGAAAAUAAAAAAGAAAAUGAAUAUUUAAAUAAUUUAACAACUAUUAAAGGGUAUUUAAUUAAAAACCCCUUAUUUUUCUAGUAUCCAAGCGGAUUGGAAUAUGGAAUAUCAUUAUAAUAGUAUAAAUUAAAUUUUUUUUUAUUCUAUAUAAAACUCCGUGAGUAUACUCCUAAUGGUAUGCUUAUUUCCACAUUCCAUUUAUUCAUGCACGUCCAUUGGACAGAAAUGAGCACCAUCACGUGUCACAUAACAAAGAUAAUGUAUCAAGUUAGUUUGCAGGAUUGCUGAAAUGUUUAAUAUAUUUUCUGCUAUUGAUUUUUGUGGUUCUAUGAGAGCUUAAUUCAGUGUUAGAAUUUGGCUUAUAAACUUCAUCGAGAGGCAACGGAAUUAAGAAAAGGGAGUGUAUGCAUUAGAUACUAACUAUGUUUAUUUGAUUUGGAGGCAGAACUUUGCUCUGUAUGGAAACGAAAAUCUAAUCAAUAAAUAGAAAUUUGAGAGGUAAAAUAUUAUAAUUUAAAAACUAUAUAGGCCAAAGUUUAAUGAAAUCUCUCCCAUAGUUCAUUUGGCUGCUUGGAAAGUAGGGGUGGGCAAAAUUAGGUUUGGAUCGGGUUCGGAUCAAUCCGAUCGGGUUUCGGGUUGAUCGGGUUGGAUGAAAAUUCAUCCGAACUGAACCUGAACCUAUAACCUGAUCUGAUCCAAUCCGAAUAUAAUUCGUAUCGGAUCGGAUUGGAUCAAAAAAUGGAGUUAAAUUCAUAUCAGAUCGGAUGUGGAUUAGAUGUGGUUCAGGUUACAUUUGAAUCAAUUCAUAUUAUUCAGGUCAAUUCGGAUCAAGUGAAAUUCAACAAUACAUAAUUACCUAUUAUUAACAACCACCAAAUAUCAAUUAAACAUUAAUCUUUCACACAUAAUAUAUAAUAUACAUUUGUAGCAUCACUAUCAAAGGCUCAAAACUUCCAAAACCCAAAGUUAAUAGCCAAAAUUCAGGUUGCCGCUUACCGGGUUCGAACGGGUGUUGCCGGGUUCAAAUGGACCUUGAAUCAGAUUAGGUGAUGGUGGAGGAUUAGAGGCAUGGAGGUGGCCCAGUAGAUCCGGUACUUCGUAGCAGUAGAUCGGCAAAUUGGGUCAUGAUCCUCGCGGAGUAGCUUCGGUUGGUGUCGGAUCUCAGCGGUUGCUGCGUCUGGCAUUGGCUCUCCGCUUUAGUUGGCGUCAGCUUCGGGGGUGUGUGUGUGUGUGUGUGUUUGUGUUUCGUUUAUUUGGAGGAGGCUGGGGGUUGGCUGUCGGCAGUGAGCUGCAAGCAAGGGAGGUUGUGGGUGAGUGAGUGGCUUUGUACGUCGCCUGUCGUCGGCAGUGGGCUGUUGUUGCUGCCGUGCUGCAUGUGCUGUUGUUAAUUUGUUAUUGUGUGUGUUUGUAAUUGUUUGUGUGUGUGUGCCCAACUUGUGUUUGUGUUUGUAUUGUGAAAUGUGAAUAUGUGAUAUGUGAUUUGUGUGUGUGGCGUGCGUGUGUUUAGAUUUAGGUUUUUUUUUUUUAAAUAACCCGAUUGGGUUUCACCAUUUUCAUCCGAUCGGAUUUUCUUUAUAACCCGAUCCGAUCCAAUCCGAACCUAAAAUUUUUCGAAUCAAAUCGGGUCGGAUAUUUUGUCCACCCCUACUGAAAAAGGCAUGGCUGGAUUAACAUACUCUCCUGAUCUAAACUUCUCAAAAUAGAAAUUCCACAAUAAAUUGCGGCAAGCAUUUACUGAGUUGGCUUGAUGUUCUUGAGUUAUAUGGCCAUUGCACCACAAAAUUUGAUAUCUAUGAGAUGGAAAGAGAAAGGGCAGAGAAAAUCAAAACCUUAAAAGUUUUGAAUCAAAUUAAACUUAAUACAGCAAACAUCACAUAUUACACAUCGAAAUCAACAAGAUUAAAAACUACUAUAUAGAACACCAUUUUUUUUUUUUUUUUUGACCAUAUCACAAGUGCACCUGCAAAUUAUUUGACAAUUUGACUGCUAUGAGCGCAUACAAGACAAAAAGAAUCCUAUAUCAUGCACAAGUAGGCAGCAAGCAUUGAAAAUACAGAAACUAGCAGCAAUGGCUUGAGCGGAAACUCAUUAAAGAGAAUGUCAUAAAUGCUAAGCAUAAGAAAAAGGCAGCAGAAUUGAGGGUGAUUAGUAAUUGGAAUAAAUGUGGAUGUUUAUUCACAACCCUGCAGAAGGGAUUUAGGCUUGAAAUCUGCUGGAAACCUUUUUCUGAUCUACAGCCCAUGAUCUUCAAUGCUGCAUGGAACAUUAUUGUUGAUAACAAUGCCAGCAGUAACAGCAGAUGAAAGACAUAGCUUUUAGACUUAUUUUUUAUUUUGAUAUUGAGCCAGGUGUUCUGCAAAUGCAAUGACAGGCGCCCCCAUUUAAAUAUCUUCCUCAUUUGAUCAUAUUUAGCUCCAAAAGCACCCCAUAAACGUUGAGUUGCCUUAAUUUUCAUUUCUGUCUUCCCAGCUUGUGAUAAGUCAUCUGAUAUGUCCAACGCUGUACAGCCACCACCAUCCAUUAAGUUAACCUUGGCAAUGAAGUUAUGAGGCGUAGCAGCCAGGAAAGAUUUUGGAGUCUACAACAUGCACAAAAAGAGGACAGACGCUUGGAAAUAAGAAUUAAUGAAUGAACUUCUAUGCCAGGCCAACAAGAGAAGUCAAGCAUAGUUUUAAAAUGAACAUAAGAAAUAGAGGCAAAGAUCAAAAUGAAUAACAACCUCUUCAAGCAGUACUUGAUGGCUUGAGAUCUCUGUAAAUAUUUUGCUUCUCAGAACUUUGCAUAGCAACCAUGGUUUUAGCAACUCCAAUGACAAUUUCAAGUCUUUUAUCCCAAGAUCCUUCUUUGGUGGAAAAGGAUUCUGCAUAACCAUGCAAUUCAAUGAUUACUAUAAAAAUAUCCAUAGAUAUGCAAUCUUUAUUUUCUUUUGUUUCUAAAUUUCCUUCAGUUCUUCUGAAAAGAUGAUUUUCAAAGCUCUCUAUCUUCACGAGCCAUUUAUUCUUCCAGCGGUAUCCCAAUGGUUUAACUUGGUAGGUAUAUGAUAGUUUCUCUUCAAAUCCUGCCUGCCUGCAUAAGCACUGCAAAAUAGGCAACGCAUAAUUAGCAAUGGUAAAAGGGAUCAUAAAAUUUGCCUGUGGCAAACAUCUAUCAUUUAGUCUUUCCCAAAAACUUAUCAUUUCUUUAUUGUGAACCCAAAAAUGGAAAAAAAAAAAAAAAUCCAUAUCAUAAUCAAUAGUGAUAAUAUUGCUCCCAAUCCUAUUGUUCUUAAUAUUAAAUUUGCUAGAAAUUAAAUGUCCCCAUCCAGUGGUAAAAGUUGCCGGAAAAAAUUAAACUAGUGUGAUUUGCUUCUAUUUGAGUGAAAUAUCAAGUGAGGUCGACAAAAGUAUUCAUGUGUUAAUAUGCCAAUAUGCUGUACAAAUUUCAAUUAUAUGCUACGUAAAACAAUCAUGCAUCAAUGAACUGAAACACGAAUUAUUGUAGGAAUAAUGCUUGAUACAGGCAUCCCUGUCAUUACUGAACAUCAAUGACCAACUGCAGAGCAAUACCCUCCAUCUUUAUGCUGUUUCUCUUAGCCAGCUCCAAUAGCAACAGUUAGUGAUUGCCUUUCAGGUUAGCUAGUUGGGAACUGAAUUUGAAUCGCUAACCUGAUAGUUGGAUCUCCGUCAUUAUUGAAAUCAGUGACCAAUACUUGCAGGAAUCAUGCUUAAUUCUUCACAGCAUGAAACAUCAAUUACCAAUACUUGUAUCUCCGUCAUUAUUGAGAUCAAUAACUGAAUAUUGUUGGGGAGUACGCAAUACACAUGCAUUACUGUCAUCAUUGAACAUCAAUGACUGAUAAAUGGGAUCGGGCUUGAUAAUUGCAUCUCUCUCCUUGGUUAACAUUAAUGACAAAUGUUUGCAGGGAUCAUGCAUGAUGCCUAACAUCAAUGACUAACAACUGUUGGGAUCAUGUUGGUACCUGAAUCUCUCUCCUUGUUGAAGAUUAAUGACCAAUAACUGCAGGUAUCAUACAUGACACAUGUAUCUCUGUCAUUAUUGAACACCAAUGACCAAAACUUAUAGAAAAGCAUGCCAUUGUACUUUUAUCUAUGUCAUUAUUUGACAUCAAUGGGAUAUAGUUGUAGUAGAUCAUACUUGAUACUUGCAUCUCCCUCCUUGUUUAACAUCACCGACCAUACUUGUAGGGUUCGCGCAUGAAACAAGGUCUCUCUCCUUUUUGAAUAUCAAUGAGCAGAACUUAUAGAGAUUCACCCAGAAUAAUUGUACCUCUGUUGUUAUUGAACAUCAACGAGGAAUACUAACAUGGGUUCAUGCUUGAUAUGUACCCAUCUCUCCUUGUUGAACAUCAAGGACGAAAACUUGUAGGAUAUCCUCAUGUUUCAUAUUUAAAUGCAUGUCUCCACCGAUAUGGCCACCAAACAAUGCUUGUGGCCUUGAAGGAUAUCAUGCUUGAUGCUUGCAUCUCUCCCAUUAUUGACGGUGUACAGGAGGUUGCAUGAUACUUUACACCUCUGUCAUUGAGCAACAUCGAUACUUCUUACAUUUGGUUGUCAAAUUCUCAAAGACCAACAAACUGGUUAUUUCUUCAGUACCUCUAAUGAAAUAAUGCAUCACAGAGUUUCAAUAUGGCUUCUAACAUUUAGAUCAAAAUAAAAUUAUAAUUAACUUAGGAGAUCUUAAGUGUAAAUAUAUAUUACUUAGCAAUUUUCAGCACUCGGCAGGGACUCAAACCCACGCAAUUUCAAAUAUCUUAAAUUCAAAAAUUAUUUACUUCUAUAUUUUUGUUGGAAGGAUACCUUUUUUUACCAUAAAUAUUUUAAUAUCCUGGAUUUCAAAUAUUGAUGGAUGUGGUUGCCAUCAGUAUUGCUGUUUUUUUUUUUUUUGGGCGAAACACUGAUAUGUAUACAUUACAAUCAGAAUGCAUGAGACCAAAUCUAUUACGCUGGGUUGCUAAUGAAGAAUUUUCCUUCAAAAAUAAGAACAGAAAAUAAAUCUUUCAAAUAAAAUUAAACAAUUUAUUUGACUUAACGAUUAAUUAAAAAAAAUGACAUGACUAUUCCAAUCCAACCGGCCCAAGUUUAAAAUAGGUUAAUUAAUGCAGAUAAAAAUUUAAUAAAAUCGAAUAUAGUAAGACUAUUGUUUGUGCUCAAGAAUGUCGUAAAAACGACGUAGUUGGAGUCGGAAUAACCAUACCUCGAUAUCAUCGUAAAUAACAUUCUUCAGCUGUCUCUGGUUGAGAAGGCCAUCUUCAAACUGAUGAACCAAGAAUUUUGAAGCUCCAAUAAGAAUGUUCAGAACGGCAAUUUUAUGCCAAAGAAUCGAUACCAAGGCGCCCUUUAUCGGUGCUUGCAAAUCUGAUCUCAGAGGGUGCACGUUCUCUUCAAGCAUACCAAUCUCACAAUCUCUAUCAAAUUCUGUCAUUUUUUUCCUCUUCCUCGUCGCAAUGCCUUGUGUUGGUGAAGAUACAACUCAGAACUCAGUAGUUAUGUGCAGCAAUCAGAUGUGCAGCAAGCCAUAACAAAAGAAACAGCCCUGGAUCUUCUUUGCCGGUAGCAGAGGUUUAAUAGAGAUUAAAAGGUCCGUGGACCCACGGGGCCCCAACUGUAGGUCCCCGUAACAGCGCAAGACAAAGUUCAGACUUUAGUUAAUAUACAUCCCUUAAUUUUUUAUUUUUUUUUACUGUUUUCAUGAUAAUCAGUCAUUUUCCUGGUAAUAUAAUCAGAUUGGAGGAUCCAUGGUCAAGACCUUAUGGUCAAUUUUUGGUUUGGUCAAUAUAGCUACAUGUAUGGAUUUACAGCCCUCAGCGGAAUCCUCUGCUGUACCGUACAUCCGCCUUGGCCGUACAGCAGAUAAUAUAAUUUUUAUUUUUAUUUAUUAUAAAUUAGAUGCAUUGUAUAAAGAGAAAUAAAAAUAAAAAAUUUCAGAACUAAAAAUAAGAAAAAUAUUUUUCAAUGUGAUUAAAAAAUUAUUAAUAAAAUUUUUGUACUUUUUAUUAUUUUUAAAUAUUUUUCAUAUAAUAAAUAAGUAUUUUAUAUGCCAAAGACAGAUUAUCAAGCAACCGGCCUAUUUACUUCUUUUUGAAUUUAAAAUUUUUUGUGUGGAGAGAUUUUUUAUUAUUAUAAAAAUAAUAGAGAGGCUAGUAAUAUAUAUUGAUUUCAGAAAUUAAUAUUUGCCUUUAAAAAAAAUAUAUACAAAGCUUAAUAGGAGGGAUUAGGAUCAUUUUCUGAUCUGAUCAUGUACUGAGCAGAUAAUUAAAGUAGUAAUUGAUAAUUAAUAAAUAAAUAAAAUAAUGAUGCUAAAUUUUAUUCAUAUACUACUAUGAGAAAACAUAUCGUAAAAAAUCUUUAAAAACUCAGUAGAGAUCAGGUGAGAAAAAAAAAUCUUACUCCCAAUAGAAAUAAGCCCAAACACAAUAGAAUAUAAUAAUAAACUCUCAUAAUUACAUAGAGAGACUUAAACUCUCCACCUUAAGAUUAAAAGAUAAAAAAAGUAAUAAUUUAAAAAAUAAUGGUUAAUAAAACGUGAUAAAUAUAAUUCUUAAACAAUAUUUUUUACAAAAAUAAUAAACAUGUUAUAAAUUAGUUAUCAUACAAAUAUGAAAAAAUUAGUGAUCAUACAACUUUCAUAUUGGAGUAAGAUUGUGGAGUGUGGACCAUUACUGUCAAUUACAUGAACUAGUCACCCAUGAAUAUAAAAUGAUAAAAAUAUCCUCACUUUAACAAGUAACUAAUACUUUUUACAAUAAUGCCAUUGAUGAGGUCGGUUGGCAGUGGCAUUCAACCUGUGCCCUACCAAUGGGCCUUUGGUCCAAUGGGAGAAGCCUUACAUUUAUAAUAUUGAGUGCAAGGGUUCGAGCCUCCAUAAGAGCAUUAUGGAGGUUAGUUUCAGUUCUUCCUCAAUUAUCAAUUAAUUGAGUGGAGACAGUCUCUCUCUCACGAAAUGUGAGUGGAUUAGGCACCCUUCGAAUAUUAGAGAUGGUUUAAAAUAUCUAGGCAUAUACUUUAGUGUGUCAAUAUAUGGUAGUGAUCCCAGUUAUAUAAUAUGAUUGUAAAUAUUAAUUGUAAUGUUUGAUGUAAUGUCAGUAAUAUCUGUGUAUAACAGACUUAAAAAAAAAAAAAAAAAUAUGUGCCCCGAAUUCUGAUGGCGAAAAAGUUCUGGCGUCCUUUCAUUUUUUGUUGUUUUGGAAACACGAUCAACUUUUUCAUUUUCUUUUAUUGAUUUUUCUUGAUUUAUUGUUAUUUAUAAAUUUAGUAUGUAUUAUUUGAUUAGCACUGUUUCCUUAAAUUAAUAGUGAUAUUUUUUAUAUAAUUUUAUUUUUCUCGUGUUAAAUAUGAUAAUUCUAUUAUGGAGCUGCCUCACACAAUAAGUCCUUAAAAUGACUAAUAUUAAAUAAUUUCUUGCCACAACAAGGUAGUUUUAACCCACGCCUCUUUUAAUGUUACAAAAGUUAAGAACAACCGAACAAGCCCUUAUUUUAUAUUUUCUUCGUACUCUUACCGGACACGUGACGAUAAUAUAGAUAUGGCAUGUCAGAAUGGUUCGUAUAGUAUUUUUAUAUUUGGAUCAAGAUUAUCUUAUGAUCUGAUCAUGUCAUGAAUAAAUAAUUCAAUUGCUUAUUGGUUAUUAAUAAAUAAAAAAAUUAAAAAAUUAAAAAUUAAAUCUUACCCAUUCACUAUCACUAACACAUACAUGACAAAAAAAUUUUAAAAUCUCAAUAGAGAAUCAUAUUCCUUUAUAUUUAGCAUUAUUCAAUAAAAGAAGAGACUAAAGGUUUUGAUCUUGUGUCUAAUAUUAUUUUAAGGUCGGUGAUGUUUUUAUUGAUGUUAUUUUUACGACACUUAUAUUUAUAUAAUAUAAUGUGAAGGCUACUAAUAUUUACAAUUAGAAAUUUAUAUGAAUUAUUUUAAAUCAAGUCUAUUAUAGCACAAUUCAGAUUUUAUAUUUGCAUAUAAUUGUGAGGGUAUCUAUGACAACUUGGUCAAAGACGGAAUAAUUUAUAUUCUUUAAUUCAACUAAUAAAAUUUCACAAAUAACACAACAAUUGACACUCAAAAGAUUUGUCUGUAGUAAUUUCAUUUUUAAAAUAAAAAAAAAUUGACGUAGCAUUAAUUUUGGGUGUUUUGCCUUAUUUUGGAGCUAAACUGGUACGAAGAUAUUAAAAGUUAUAAGCUAAAGUGUGUAAAGCACUAUUAGACCCAUUCACUGCCCCUUUAGUCGUUUGAAAGUUGUGCAUUAGAAUUUGUUGUCAUCGAGAAAUUUCGUCGAACGAUCUGAAUCUAGCCAUUGACUGUUAGAAAUUUCUAUGUAAGUUGCCAGUCCGUUUGAAAGCGCCCUAAUCAGAAACAAAAGGCUCCGAGGAACUUCCACGAAGUUACUAACAUGUUCAUGACAUAAAUAUGCUCAAUAGAAAAAAAAAAAAAGGUAAAAAUAUAUUUAGUCCCUAUAUUUUAAGAUUAGUGUCAAUUUAGUCUCCGUAUUUUUUAAAAUACCUCGAAAUAUCUCUAUCGUUAAAGUAUUGAUACCCAUACCAUUAUUUUUUAUUUCUUUUGGCUUACUUUUACAAUAUUACCCUUUUAUAAUAAUUUUUUUGUUUGGACAUUAAUAAAAAUAAAAUAAUUAAAUUACCAAUUUAACCCUAAAAAAUAAAAAUAAAAUUAUAUUAAUUUUUUUGCAAGCACCAUUUGCACACUUGAUAGUUGCAUACAAUUUUUGACAAUUAAAAAUUAAUAUAAUUUUUUUAAUUUUUUAGGGUUAAAUUGGUAAUUUAAUUAUUUUCUUUUUAUUAAUGUCCAAACAAAAAAAUUAUUAUAAAAGGGUAAUAUUGUAAAAGUAAGCCAAAAGAAAUCAAAAGUAACGGUAGGGGUAUCAAUACUUUAACGGCAAGGAUGUUUCGAGGUAUUUUAAAAAAUACGGGGACUAAAUGGACACUAAUCUUAAAAUACAGGGACUAAAUGAACUUUUACUCGAAAAAAAAUUACUUGUGUUGGAGAAGUAAUAAUGGUAAAAUUUUCCAUUUGUGGGGCUCCAAUGGUCCUCCUAAUACUCUGAAUAGGGUUAAGAUGAUAUGAUUUUUAUGGAAUGAGGAGGGAAUGAAAAUAAUCAAAUUUAGGGUCCAAUUAUAUUGGAACCGUUUUAAGGUAGAGUACCAAUUUACAAUCAUAUGAUUAAAGUUGUAAUAAGUUUUUUUACUAUUCAUCACUUUGUGUGUAUGGUUAUAAUUGCUGCUCUAUGUUAAAAAAGCUCCAAGAUGGCCAUGGUACUAAAUUUGAUAUACAAAUUAUUCGUGGAUUUGGUGUAAUUUUGUAUUCUUGUUCUCCUAUCUCUACUAGUUUACAAUUUUUUAUUUCUCAAUAAUGCUAAAGAGAGAGAAACAUGAGAGAAAGAUAAGAGAAGUUUGCUCUCUCUCUCUACCCAGCCCACUCUCUCUUCCUUUUCAAUGCAUUUUCUCUCAUUUUUCUUUCAUCUUUCUCUCUCGUUAGCAUUUUUCUUUAUUUUUAUUCUAAUUCAAGUAUUAGUUAUCCAAAACAAAAUUGUUCUAAUACGUUGAUGACUUUUUUUUAAAUUAAAUAAUUUGAAUAGAUCUUCUUCUUUUUUUGAGUAGUUUUAACUAUUAUAUUACUAAAAUGAUGUAUAUUUUUUUACUAUAAAAGAAAAUAGUAAAUGAGAAUAUGGUGGGGGCAUGCGGAAAGGUUACCACCAACCCCCUUUACAUGAGCAGGCUAUAUAGUAUGAACGUAAAAUUUUUUUCUCAAAAAACACAAAUUUUGAUUAAAAAAAUUAACGCAGAAAAAGAAAAAUUUCUAGGAAGUUUCUUUCUUUUUCUUUUUCUUUGUUAAAGAAAAUUUCUACGAAGUCUUCCUAAAAUGAUGGUGGCCCCCUUCCCAUACUUAUGUCCACAUGAGCAGGGUAUACAUAUAGUAUGAACAUAAAAACUUUUCUCCAAAGAAACGAAUUUUGAUUAAAAAAAAUUAAAAAAGAGAAAUUUCUACGAAAUUUUCUUUCUUUUUCUUUGUCAAAGAAAAUCUCUAUGAAGUCUUCCUAUAAUGAUGGUAGCCUCAUUACCAUGCUUAUAGACAUGUCACAUGAGCAGGUUAUAGAGUAUGAACAUAAAUUUUUUUCUCCAAAGAAACAAAUUUUGAUUAAAAAAAAUUAAAAAAGGGAAAUUUCUACGAAAUUUUCUUUCUUUUUCUUUGUUAAAGAAAAACUCUAUGAAGUCUUCCUAUAAUGAUGGUAGCCUCAUUACCAUGCUUAUAGACAUGUCACAUGAGCAGGUUAUAGAGUACGAACAGAAAAUUUUUUCUCCAGAGACACGAAUUCUGAUUAAAAAAGAAUUAUAGAAAAUGAGAAAUUUUUACAAAGUUUCUUUUUUUUUUUUCUUUUUUUCAAAGAAAAUAUCCAUGAAGACUUAAUUUCUUAUAACGAUGGUUUUUGAUACAAAGGGCCCCAAGGGCCAACGUGAUCGCGGAAUUGAAGGCAAGUUACCACAAAAGAUAAGUUUAUAAUUUCUUAUAAGGCAAGUUACCACAAAAGAUAAAUUUUUAUUAUGUUAUAUAAUCAUGUAUGUUACAUGAUUAUGUAGCAGCCGUUAAAUUUACAUUCAACGGUUGUGAAAAUAACAUGAUUUUAUUAUCUUAUAUUUUCACAACCGUUAGAUUUUCAUCCAACGACUGCUACAUAAUCAUGUAUGUUACAUAUUAUGUAACAUAACAAUCUCCCAAAGGAUAAAUACGAGUUUGAUUAUGACACUAUAUUAUUGAUCAAAGAAAAGUAAUUUUCUUUUUUUUUUAAAAAGAUUAAGAUAUGUAGCGAAUUUUGAAGGCUAUUUAUAAGACUGUCUAUUUCCAAUAUUAAGGAAAAAUAAUAAUCUCAUUUUCUCGCAUUGGGAUUUGUAAGUUUUUAUUAGUUAUUUUCCUAUGAAUAAUGUUAUGUUUAUUCACUUUAAAUACUGAAUUGAAAUAGUUAAUGAUACGGUAUUUUAUGUAUCAUCUAUUAAUUGGGUUAUAAAAAAUAGGUUAUUAAUUAAUAAUAAAAUCAAUUAACAUCAUACUUAUGGUAUUAAAUAAUUAGUGACACAUCAGUGAAUAUCUCAACUAAGUAUCCAUACGUAGUAAACAUAGAAUUAUUGUUUUCCUAUGAGUAAUAUUAUGUUUAUUCACUUUAAACACUGAAUUGAAAUAGUUAAUGAUACGACAUUUUAUCUAUCAUCUAUUAAUUGGGUUAUAAAAAAUAGAUUAUUUAUUAAUAAUAAAAUUAAUUAACAUCAUACAUAUGAUAUUAAAUAAUUAGUGACACAUCAGUGAAUAUCUCAACUAAGUAUCUAUACAUAGUAAACAUAGAAUUAUUGUUUUCCUUUCAUUUUAGUACCCCAUUAGCUUCAAAACAUGAAAAUGGAUUUUCUUAUGACUUCUUCAAGAUGUAUUAGAAUCCUCACCAAGUAUUUUUUUUUUUUUUUUUCUGUAAGACUCCAAAGCAACCUUCUGUUUAUCUUUUUAUAAAUUUUAAAUUAUUUUAUUUUUAAAAAUAAAAUCUCAAAAUCUACCAAACACAAAAUUUUGGAUAAAUUUUCAGUUUUUUUUCUUAAAUCAUUAUCCAAAAUUGCAGGGUGAUAAAUUUUCCUAAUUGUCCGCGAGCUCAAAAGUCCAAACCAUGAAACCAUUUUUUUCUCUGGAAAUAGGUGGAUCCCUAGUGGUCAUCACUCAACUGUGUAAACUGUGCUGUAGAUAUGUUGAUUAAGGGCUAUUUUGUAAGAUUGCAAAUGGUAUGGAUGAAAUAAGUUAAUAAUUUAAAAAGUAGUUUGGUGUUUAGUAAAUUAUGUUAUUAUGGUCACUGUGAGUUUGAAAAAAGAGUACAUAUAUUUCGCAAACUUUAUUACAUAAAUGUUGUUUUUAUUAUUUAAUGAUAAAAAUAGACAUAAGUUUAAAAAGCUUUUAUUUGUAUACUAGAUUUUAUGAAAAAAAUAAGAUAAAUUUUUCUUUUCGUUAAAAUAUUAAAAUUGUAAUAAAAUUAUAAAAGGUGUAUGUUUUGACUUAUUUAAUAAUAAGCUACCUAUAAAAGACAACAUCUUACUUUUAAAAACUACAAUGAAAAUGGAAACAAUUAUGAAAUACACAAUUUUUUAAAAAUUUAUCAAAUAUUAUUUUUGUCAAAAGUUAUUAAACAAGUUACUCAUAGCGUUUUAACCUCAAUUUUAAAUAAGAAAUAAAUUUUAAAGUAAAAAAUAUGAAUUUGUGAGAACUUGCUGGUUGUCUUGUGCAGUUAAACGUGUAAGGAUGACAUACCUUUCAAGAAUUUACCUCCAGGGAAGCUAAAGAAGAUUAGAUAAAUUCCAAUCAAAUAUUAUAGUGAUUAGUUUUAUAGAAUUAAUGAGUAACCUAAUAUUAGCAGCAUACGAAAAAGAGCAUGCAGUCUUUGACUCUUCCAGUGAAAAGCUUUAAGCAUGAGAAAAUAGUGUAAUAUGUAGCUUAAAAAAUUGAUAUUUUGAUAAUUUAUUAUUAUAUUAUUUUUAAUCAAUCAUUGCAAAAAGUAUAACAGAUAAAUUACCGUGGCCAUUGUUCAUGUUAAUCACCAAAAAUGUCGGUUGAUUGAUAAUUGUGUAUUCAUUAAAGAAUUCAUCUAUUGGAUCACUUGGCUCCACCGCCCUGCCACUCACUUUCAAAUAACUUAGGCAAACAUUAAACGUUCUUAUAUGACGCAUUCAUUAUCGACAUUGAAGCUGCUGAUCUUAAUGCUGACUCGGCGACAGAAAAAUAAUGUAACAAUUAUUAAAUAAUAAAGAGAUGAAUAUUAUAAGGGCCCGCCUAAGUUAAUGUGACUUACACCUGCCCUGCCCAAUUUCAUUAUGCCCCCUAUACUUUAUAUUUUUUAUAAUUUAUUUAUAAGUAUUAUAAAAAUUUUUGGAUUGUAACAUUUUGUUUAACUCCUUAUACUCUGUUGUAUUUUAUUGAAAUUCCUUUAAGUUUCAGUUCGCCCCCUAUAAUUUUAAAUUCCUAAAAUAACCGCCAUUUAAUUAAAAAAUAUAAUUACUACUAAAUGAAUUAUAAUUUGNNNNNNNNNNNNNNNNNNNNNNNNNNNNNNNNNNNNNNNNNNNNNNNNNNNNNNNNNNNNNNNNNNNNNNNNNNNNNNNNNNNNNNNNNNNNNNNNNNNNNNNNNNNNNNNNNNNNNNNNNNNNNNNNNNNNNNNNNNNNNNNNNNNNNNNNNNNNNNNNNNNNNNNNNNNNNNNNNNNNNNNNNNNNNNNNNNNNNNNNNNNNNNNNNNNNNGCUGUAAUAAUAAUUUUUUAAUUAUUUUGUUAAUAAUAGUUAUUAUGAUAAAAAUUAAUUAAGAAUUUUAUAGUAAUUUGUUACAAUUUAACUUACUCUGAUUUUUAUUCUAAGACAAAAUAAACAUAAAUGGUAAUAAAACUAAUUCUAAUUACGAUUACAGCAGUUCAAGUAAAUAGAUUAUUAUGAUUUUAAUUCCUCUUUUUUAUUCUAAUUAUUCAUAUUCUAACUCAUUAUAUUUCCAGCUAAUUUCGAUUCCAUUUUAGUGAAUGCACUAUAAAAUUAAUAAUACUUAUGAAUAAAUUGUAAAUAAUAGAGAGUGAUCUAAUUGAAUAUAGAGUGGUUUACAAUUUUAUUCACUAAAAAUGAAUCGACAUUAGCUAGAAACAUAAUGAGUUAGAAUCAAAAUGAGGAAUUAGAAUCAUAAUAAUUUAUUUACUUGAAUUACAAGAAUCGUAAUUAGAAUGACUUAUAUUACCAUUUAUAUGUUUACUUUGUCUUAGAAUAAAAAUUAGAAUGAGUUAAAUUAUAACAAAUUAAUAUAAAAUCCUUAAUUAAUUUUUAUCAUAAUUAUUAUUUUGUAUUUUAAUUAUUGUUAUUGUUAUUAUUAUUCAAAAAUUAUUUAUUAAAAUUAAUUACUAUUAACAAUUUAACGAAAAAAUUAUUAUUAAUUAUUGUUAAUAGAUUAAUUAAUUAUAAUAUUUUUUAUUCUUGUUAAUAAUAAUAAUAAUCUAUUUAAAAAUUAUAAUUAUAAUAAAAUAAUUAUCAUGAUUAUAAUUAUAAUUCAUUUAAUAAUUAUUAUAUUUUUUAAUUAAAUGGAGAUUGUUUUGGGAAUUUAAAAUUAUAGGGGUGAAUUGGCACUCUAGGAGUUUCAAUGAAAUAAAAUAGAGUGUAAGGGAUUAAACGAAAUUUUACAAUCUAAAAGUUUAUGAUACUUAUAAAUAAGUUAUAAAUAAUAUAGAGUAUAGGGAACGGAAUGAAAUUUGGCAGGGCACAUGUAAGUUACAUUAACUGUAGGCGGACCCACAUUAUAAACGUGUUACCAAAGCUUAAAAAAGAAACGUUUUCAAACAAUAAGCAAAUGAAACAUUGACUGAUCUAUUUUUUAUAUUCAAUAAAUCUUUGCUUGGACCAGGUCAGCCUUACUUCUUUUUAUUUUUUAUUCAGUAUUAUUUUUUUUUAGUCAAAUAAUAUAUUACUAGGAAAAAAAAUAUUAUUUAUUUAAAAAUGUGAGUAAUUACCGAGGUGAUGUAGAAAGCAUCCCCAUACACGUACCCGUGCAUCCCAUCAAUAUUGCCGAAGGGAAGCUUCCUUCUUUGAAUGUCCGAAUUCCAAUCUUUCUCUAACGUGUGCUUAAGCCUGAAGGAAAUGUCACCUUGUUAGCUUCAUAGAAAUUUUCCUGGGCGGGAGGAACUUCCUUUUUCUAAUUUCCGAUCGUUUUCAGAUUGGAAGAAAAUGUGAUACAUUUUCAUAAAUCAUGAAGUAAGUAUUAUCAUAUACUCAUAUUAUAUAAAAUAACCUUUUCAUGGGAAAAAAAAAAUCCUCUAAAUUAGUUCAAUAUUUUAACAAUUUUUUAAUUUCUCUUCCGCUUCAUGGGGAAUAAACAUCCAUGUGCCUAUCUACGAAAUUUUGUUACAUUCUAGCAUCCUUUCCAUCUUCUCUGUAACAAAUUUGAGGUAAUGGCAGAGCCAUUAAAAGACAAGCCAAAAAUCGCAAAAGUCAUUUUCUUUCUAAUUCAGUUAAAUUAUAGUUUUCUCUAUAUAGAACUAAUUACAUAUUUAAAAUGAUGUGAUUUUGUAAGUCACUGAUCCGCACAACCAAAUCGUCGGCGCAAAGCAAUGGGGGAGAAUGUAUUAAAAAAAUUUCAGGUUCAAAAUUUAUUUUAAAAAUCAUAGAAAUACUUAUUAUUGUACAUGGGCGCUUGAAAUAUAAAAUUAGGAUGUUUUGUACUUUUUUCUUAUUUUUAUUUUAUGCCGUCAUAAAUUUUGUCCUUAUCAAUUUAGGGUCAGUUUGGGAUUAUGGUUGCUGAUUGAAUAAGCUGCUUCUACUGUGCAGAUACAAUAAGCAACUAAUUAAAAAAGUAGCUUGAUAUUUGGUAAACUGUGUUGUUGCGGUUGUUAUAAGUUUGAAAAGUAGUGUAAAUGCGUUUAGUAAAUUUUAUUACAAACUUGUUAUUUUAUCAUAUAAUGAUUAAAAUAGACAUAAGUUUAAAUUACCUUUUUUUUUUAAGUAUGUUUAAUAAUGUUUAGACGUGUCCUUUUCUUUUUAAAACAUAUAAAAUUAUAUUAAGUGAAAAAAAACUUAAUAAUUUGUUACAUAAAAUAUGUUAAAAAUUCAUACUAAUAUAUAAUCUAGAUAAAAUAAAAUAAAAAGUAAUAUGCAUUAUUUUCACAUUAAACUUGUUGCAGUAAAGAUCAUGACUAUAGAAAAAAUAUAAAUAUAUUAAAUGUUAAAAACUCAUGGUUAGAAUUGAUUUUAAAAAGUUACGGUAAAUUUUCACGUGAAAUUGUUCAUAGUUCAAAAUAAAAUUACAUAAUUAUAUGCAAGUCUUUUUAAUUUUCUUAUAAAAAAUACAAGUACAAUAUAAAAAAAUAUGAACUUACUAUAUCAAAACUUUAAUACUGGAGAGAAUAUAUAGUAGUUGUAGGGGUAAUUUGAUUGUGGUGAUAAUAUGAGAUCUAAUAGUUUAUAUAUUAGAGUGUAUGGAAAAAUAUGAUAUAAUUAUUUUUGCUUAAAUAGUAAUUAAGAUUAUAAUAGUAACUUCAAAAAGAUGUGGCAGCUUAUUUAAUAAGUUGGUUAUAAUAAGCAACUCCCUACCUGAUUUUAAAAGUUACUAUCAAAAUCGAGAAAAUUAUGAAAUAAGUAGAUUUUAUAAAAUUUAUAAAACGCUGUUUUUGAAAUGCAAGUUACGCAAUCCAAGAGGGGGGUGAAUUGAGAUUUUAAAACUUAUGCAAUACAAUUCGCACAACAAAUCAAUCUAAUGCCUUAAUGGAAUAGAAAACAAUAAAUUCAAACAAAUAUAAUAAUAAAAGAGUAAGGGAAGAGAAAAAUAAACACACGGAUUUUUACGUGGUUCGGCAAUCCCCGCCUACAUCCACGCCUCCAAGCCAACCAAGCUCGAGGAUUUCACUAUCCAAUCCUUCUAAGGCUUCAAAUUUUUACAAUUGACUUCCAAGGUGUCAAUGAACCUUUGCAAUCAAGAGAUUAUCUCCCCAAUCUCUUCACCCCAAGUGUUUCUCACAAUUUGAUAAGAAAUAAAAAUUACAACAAAAACUCUCUUUAAAAGUGGAUAUGCAAAUAAUAGCACAACAAUGAUUCAAUCUAUGAUGAUUUGUGAUUUGGAAGCUCAACAUAUGUUAUAUGAUCUUAUUUAUGCUUGCAUUAGUUCUUAAAAUGAAGUUGGAGUUGAGAUUUUAUAAUUAAAGCCCGAAAACUAUUUGUUAUAGACAAAUUCCCGCAACCAAACGAUUAGCCGCUUGAUUUAUCCGACUAGCCACUCAAAACAGUGAUAUUACCGUUGUUUUUGAAUUUGCUACAGUAAUAUUGUUCACUAAAAUUAUACUAUAUUCCAAAACGUUAUAAAACUUUAAAAAUAGGUCCAAUUUCAGAAUUUUUAAAUAAUAAUUAUCAUUUCAAAACUUUCUGAAAUUAUGAUAUGACCCCAACUAUAUUAUUAUUUUUUAAAGAGGUCCUUUUCAUAAUUUUAACAUAAUACCCAUAUUUUUCAAAGUUCUCAAAACCUUUCACUUUAGUCUAAAAUGUUCAUAAAUUAUAAUAUGGCCCAAAGCAUUUCAAAUUUUUACAAAAAUGUCCAACUCUGAAAUUCAAAAUAAUACUUAUUAAAAUCAAAGAUUGCAAAACUAUUCAUUUAAGUCCAAAUUACUAAAAUCCACAAAAUACUCUACAAUAUAACAAUAAAACCUAUCAUGCAUCAAUUAAAUCAUACCGGCUUUACAAGAAUUUUAUCACAAUAAUUUAUCCGUUGAGCUCUAAACUUUAUUCUUGAUUUCACUUGCAUAAAUAUUACCCUUAAAAAACUAGUGAAAAUGUGAAAUACAUUUUUUAUUAAAUCACUUAAUACACAUGUUUGUUAUCAUUAAAAUUACAUUAUGUGUAGCCCUUUAGGCUAACAGUUUUUGUCACAGAUUAUGAAAUAAACAGCUUAUUUUCAACUUCAAUCUCAAAUAUAAACCUUUAGUUUUUAGCUAUAUCAUUAAUUUGAAAGGGUUAUGCCAAUACCCCUUUGUAGUCAAAUGGGGUAUUGGUGACUAGAGCUGGCAAAACGGGUCAUCGGGUCGUGUUCCUGUCAUGUCAGUUUCGUGUCGUGUCAAAUUUAGGUCGACCCAAACCCGACCCAUUUAAUAAUCGUGUCAAAAUAUUGAGACCCAAACCCGACACGGAAAAAUAACCGGGUUACCCAAUAACCCGUUUAAUAUCUACAUACUGAACAAAAGUUACAUCAAAUAUUUACACACUAUCAUACAUACGUAUGUACAUAAAUACAUACAUACAUACAUACAUAAUUUAUCGAUAUUAUAAAAUAUACAUAUCUACCAAUAUAUUACACAUGUACACUAUUGAGUUUUAAUUUUCUAUAUAUAUAUAAUAUUAUAUAUCAAUAUUAUAAAAUAUACAUGUCUAUCAAUUUUUACAUAUUUACACUAUUGAAGCUCUAAAUGUAUGUAAAAUUUUAUAAAUAAAACAUUGUGUUUAUAUUCACCCUUUUAAAGAAUAAAAAAAAAGAAAAUCAUCUCUAAUAUUUGAGUUUUAAUUAUAAGAAUAUGUAAAUUAUUUUAAAAUAGAAAAUAUAAUCGGGUCAUUGAUUGGGUAAAUGGGUCAAGAAUUUUAACCCAAACCCGACACGGAAAAAAAUCGUGUUGACCCGGACCCGACCCAUUUAAUAAUCGUGUUAAAUUUGAUGACCCAUGCCCAUUUAUUUAUGUCGUGUUCGUGUCGGGUAAUCGGGUCGUGUCAAAUUUUGCCAGCUCUACUGGUGACAAAGUAGCUAACCUUUUAAAAAAAAAGUAAAAAAAGCUUAAUUUAAUCACGUUGCAAUAAUACCUUAAAACGAAAACUAAAAGCAUAAAGAAAUUAAAAAAUAUAAGUUAAAUUAUAGAGAGGGAAAAAAAUAAAGGCGGUGAAAGCCAAAAAUAUAACCUCCCCGGCUCACUUUAAGAAAGAAAACACCGGAGAGAAGAAUUACCCAGAUUCAGCUUCAAUCAUGUCUAAUGAAUUGAUAGAGUUAGCCAAAAAGGACAAAGUCCAGGAAAAGGACAGCACCCAGAAUCAGAAUGGAUGCACGUCAAUGCACAGAGCCCCCGUGGAAGGGGAUGGCGAGAUGAUUCACUGCCUCGGAAAGCUUGAUCCCCAAACUGGUAGUGUUGUAGAAGACAACGGGUUGACGACGCCGCUACACAGAGCAGCUGUCAAUGGCGAUACUGGCAUGAUUAGGGAAAUAGCAUGCUCGGAAUCCCUUGCAAAGCUGACUUCCGAUGCCGAGACAGCUCUUAUCCUUGCAGUGAAGAGUUCUCAAAUCGAUGCUUUUAAAAUCUUGGUGGAGGAGACAAAGAGACACAACAGGGAGCAUCUUUUCAAUGCGACAGAUAAGGAGGGCAACAGUCUUCUUCAUCUUGCUGCAUUGAACAAAUUAAUCGUGGUAAGCUCUCCCUGCUCUGUGCUCUCUCACACUCGCGAAAUUACACAAAUCACACAACUUUUAGGGUCGACUUUAAAGGAUUGGAGGACUAGAUUGAUAGCUACGAAAGUUGCUAAGGCCAAAAGAGAAAUAUCAUAAAGGAUAGUGGGUUAAAAAAGUAGAAAGCCAAAUGUAGAGAAAAAUGUGUGUGGAGUUGGCGCAUAUCCAGCGGGACCCAUAAUUUACAUAACAAAAUAAUAUUUCUAUUAUGUCGUAAGUAAGUCUUGGGUAUUUUCAUUAUGAUCCCCUCAACCAAAAUCCUACUUCCCCACUCUGCCCAGGCUUCUGCCUAGUUCCGCCUAUUGAUGAUGUUUAAUAAUUGCAGAUUGUGAAUCUACUUCUUGAGGGUUCCUCCAGCGACAUAAUUCAAAUCGAUUCCAAGAACAAUCAGGGACAGACAGCCUUGGAUAUAUGCAAAGCCAAUUCUCAAGAUAGUGUUUCCAACGAAAUUGGCUCGAUCCUCGAAAGAGCUGCAGCUCGGCAACAAACUGCUCCUGUUUCAGAACUCCCCAUCGAUACCACUAGUGGCUUCUGGAUUCCCAUAGAGACGAAGAACGUGAUACUGAUGGUCCUAGGAAUGAUUGCUACGGCUUUUUUCGCCGCAACCUGUGAUUUGCCAAAUAGCUUUGUCAAAGGAAAUCAUCCUCAAGGUGAAUUAAACAAUCAUCCUCAAGGUAAAUUAAACUUAUUUAUGGAGAAAAUUUUAUCUUAAAGGAAUGCUUAUGACAAAAUACAUUACACUAAAAUCUAUACAUUUUUUUUUUUAAUCUUUUAACUUAUUCUUAUUUUAUUAAGAUAAGAGAUUCUUUUAUUAUAAAAGUACUAUAUUCACAGAAGGGGGGCAAUUUUUUUUAUUAGCUGUAAUCUUGCAGUUGCCUGCUUCCUUUCUCAUAGCAAAUCAUAUAUGCAUGCCUUGCAGGUCAAAAAUUUGAUGCUAAGGACGUUAUAUCUGGCAAGUUACCAACGGUUGUCUACCUGAUGAUUUUCAAUUCGGCUGGGUUUAUGACUGCUAUGGCUGCAAUUAUCAUACUUGUGUGGCGGCUAAAACUUAGAACAAUCCUCCUUUUUCUUGUGAUCUGCAUAUGCGUUGUUUAUGUCAUGUUAGUGGAUGAGGUCACGCCUAAGUUCAGUGUAAGUGUCGGGACAUUCAGCAUUUCAAGCAUGGCUUUGAUGUGGUCCCUAGUCGCAGCCCUUUCUCUCUCAGGAAUCUCUGUGCUGAGUAUGUGGGGGAAGUACACUUCAUCCCUUUGGCGAUUCAUUGUCUGGCUGUCCAUGAAAAGAGCAAAUUGCUGGAGCAACAACACUCUUGGAGAUUUAGAGGCUAGUUCAAUUUGAUGAUAGAGUUCAAUUUGAUUCUUUUCCUUUCUGUAGAAAUAAGUUGUUUGGAAAAUGUAAAAAGAAACUUCCACUGAAGGCAAACGUGGUCUAGGGAUUCACGAAGCGAAAAUAGGUGUAUUCUUCUUGUUUUCCUAACGUUUUGCUGGGAAAUAUAAAAAACCAUUGAGUGUGUUUCUUAUAUGGAUUAGGCCUAUAUUGGCAGGACAACAUAAAUCUUUGUGUCAUUUCUUUCUGUACUGGAUUUAUUAGAUUCCUUGCCUUCUUCUUCUUAUUUUUCCUUCUUUAAUCAAUCAAACUGAUCUCCAGAGUAAUUACAUGGGAUCUGAUUACCGAUUUAAUGUUGCAGCGGCUGGCAUGAAAGCGCGCAAUGUUCUUUCUUUGAUUGACCCAAGGUAUGGCAGCACCUAGAGAUGGCCACCGGGCCAAGCGACAUCUGGCACGCGGGAACAGCAUGGAACAAGCAUGUUUUGGUAAGGCGCACAGCACGGCACACAUGCGGGCUGAGCUGGAUUGAGAAUUUUAGCCACAUAUGCCUUAAAAACAUGACACGAUUGGAGAUGGUGUAAAGCAUGGCAUAUGAAAAGGCCUAAAAUAAACAUACUUUAUUGAUAGGCUAGCUCGCAACUCAUGGGUCAUCAAUAACAUGUUGGCCAAAGUAUAUCAUAAUAAAAAAUUUUUAACGAAAAGUAGACAUCAAAUGUUAUGAUUUGACAAAUAUCACCGUAGGUUUUUUUAAAGUUAAUUUAAGUCUUAGUUUCAAGAAAAAAAAUAUUCCAAUUGUUUGUGUUUAUAAUUUAUUUAUUAAAUGAAUAAAUUAUAUCAUGAUUUUAAUAAAUAAAAUUAUCAAUAUCACGAUUUUAUAAAUGAUAGACCUAAACUUUUAUGACUGUAAUAUUUCAUUUAUGAAAUCACGAAUUAGUCACAGGAGACAUUUUUCAUCUGUGAAUGAAAUGUUUUUCACAUUUACACAAAAAAAAAUAAAAUUAUGAAUGAAAUAUGUUUUAUAAUAAAUUAAAAGUUACUUUUUCAUUCAAUGGAGUUCAAGUGCAAGUACAAUAUUAGUAGCUCAAAUAAAUUUAUGUGUAAUUUGCAUCAUUACGGUUAACUAUACAUCUCAACUAGGCUGUUAUAAUUGAUAUCUCUUAGUCGUAACUUCUUGUAAUCAUUAUUCCAAGAUUAUAAUUUUAAUUUUUAUCAAUCAUUACCAUGGUCGGAAUUAGAUUUAUGUAUUGUUGUAUUAUAAUUGGUCAUUGCAAAAUUAUAAUAUAGUUAUAUAAUUGUGUUCAUGAGAUGUUAAUUAUUAUAUUUUAAUUUGAAACUUAUAAACAUUAUUGUUAUUACGGAUUAUGAUUUAUAACUCUAUGUAAGUUCAAGUUAAUAAUUAAAUGUUAAUCUUUAAAGAAAAAUAAUAAUAAUAAUAAUAAUAAUAAUAAUAAUAAUAAUUAUUAUUAUUAUUAUUAUUAUUAUUAUUAUUAUUAUUAUUAUUAUUAUUAUUAUUAUUAUUAUUAUUAUUAUUAUUAUUAUUAUUAUUAUUAUUAUUAUUAUUAUUAUUAUUAUUAUUAUUAUUAUUAUUAUUAGUGCAUGGGCUUGAAAAAAGGGCACAUGGAUUUAAAAAAGCACGCCAAGCACUAUUGGGUCUGAAAAAGCACACAAGAUACACCCUCUAAAAAAAAGGCACCCCUGCUUUUUGUUGGUUACAACCCACGACACGACAUGCGUAGGAUCAUGCUAUGGACCGUGCUCGGCCUAAAAAAAAAUAGGGCACGACACUUCUCAAGCUAUUGAAUGACCUAAUUAUUGAAGAAAAAUCAGUUUUUUUUAAAUUUUUAUAAAACCUUUUUAAGAUCGCUCUCAUAAAAUAUAUAAGAAUUUGCAAUCUAGAAAUUGUACCUUAAAAAUCUGAUUUGGCUUUUUCCGCUGAAGUGAUUUAGGCUCCCAGAUCACGAUCCGUCACCACCACUCCUGUUAGAUCAAGAUUCGUCACCACCACUCCUGUUAGAUCACGAUCCGUUACCACCACGCUUGUUAGAUCACGAACUGUCAUCAAUGAUCUUCCAAGUUAUAACUCAGGUUUGAUAUGCACUUGACGCGUGGGCGCCUUUUUCACCACUAAAGCAACUAGAACGAGAAAAUUUUUCUCUAAAAAAUCAGAGAGAAAAAUCUUUUUUUCUGAUCUGUAUAAAGUGGUUGCUCUCCUUCUUUUGGGAGAAAAUAAGCCCUUUUAUAUCUCCCUUUAGUGAAAACCUUAGGCUCUAAAUAAUGAAAAUCAAAAGCCACGUUACUUGCUUUUUCUAUAGGGGGCCCAUCUUGUAAAAUAACAUAAAGCCCCUUACAUACAAUCAUAUUAAAUGGAGCCUCCCACUAAAUGAUAUAUUUAGGCUUUUGACCCAAAUAGCUAGUUAUCUUGUUUAUUAAUCCAGUAGUGGCGCAGUCAAUUAAAUGAGCUAACCCGGGGAUCAUUUGGGAACAUACAAUAGUAGCUAUAAUAAUUAGGCAUGUAAUUAAACUAGCCCAAUUAUUUAAUUCCAAAUCUACUCCACUAAAAGAUUGGAACUGAUCUCCAUAAUUGUAUGCUCGAAUGAUAAUUUGUCCAAAACCACAUUGAUUUCUUUACUACAUAAUCCUUUGUACCACAUCGUUAAUUAAAUCGACAUCUCAAUUGUCCAAUCGAUUUAAUUACAUCUUAUUCCUUUAUACUUACUGGUUUUCUUUAAUGAUUAUUUUCAACAUACUAAAUAUGUUGACACACUCUGGCCAGAGAAUUCUAUGAUCAAGUGCCGAAAACCUAUCAAGAGAUGUGUUGUACAAAUUCUAUAUUGUUAAUCUAUAACUUCAAUACUCAUAAAUGCUCCCACCAAGAUAGACUACAAGUAUGUGUCAUGCAAUAAAUUUCAAGAUUGCAUGUUUCAUCUCAUCAAAUCCAAUUUUGACCUCUCCGAACACCUUCCAAUCUUCAACCAUUGUCAUCUUGAUUUUAGCUACUUCUACCUUGAUUUCAGCAACAUCCUGCUGUACGGCCAAGGCGGAUGUACGGUACAGCAGUCGUACUACAUCAAUAAAUUCAUACAUGAUUAAGACAAAUCAUUCAAUGAAUUUAUUACAGUCUAUACCAAAAUAAAGUGCCCAACUUUAUUUAUCAACUGCGAAUUAAAUUUAUUUAAUCAUAAGAUAAUUUGUAUUUAUAUUUUCUGUGAAUCCACAUAGUGAUCACAUAAAUACAUAUAAUAUGAUUAAAUGGAUUUCAAUCAAAAUAUUAAUACAAUUAAGAUAUUUAAAUAAAAUACCUCAUUUAUUUUAUUAAUCAGAAAAAUUAUUUAUUACAAUUAAAUAAACAUAUAUGCUUUUAAAGAGCAUAUUUUCCCAACACUAACUUCAAUUGCGGCAUGCUUGUUGGCCAUCUUUAGCAACACCUAAGUCCAUUGAAUAAAGAAAAUGAUUUUAAUGAUUGGAGAGUAAAGAUAUGAGGACUUUAUUGCUUCAUCAACGGCUUGAGGAAGCUCUUUAUGAGGAUUCAAACAUACCUUUGAAAUAAAACUUAUUGAUGAUAAAAGAAAAAAUGAUUUUGACUCUUUAAGAAGGCCUCUAGGGGCAUAAUCUUGAGUUUGGGUGAUGGGUAUUAGGGAAAGUUUGAAAGAGAUAGUCAGUGACAUCAACAAAUCUCUUAAUUUCAAAGAAAUUAGAGAGCUUGAAGGAUAACUUACUGAUAACGUGUCAACAUUCAAUAAAGAGUUCUCGUAUCAUCUGUUCCGCUUCUCCAACCUUGUUGUGUGUGAGCCUUUUUUUUUUUGGUGAAUAAUGCACUUUGGAUGGAAAUAAGAAAUCUUAUUCACUAUUCUUAUGUGUGUCUCCUUCCCGAAUCGGAAAAUCAGAAUCUGGAAUUGGAAUUAUUGGUAGUGUUUACUUUACAAAAUAAGUGUGAGAAUGAUGCAUAUUAGGAAUCCAUCUUAUACUAGAAUGUGUUUCCUUUUUAACUAAGGUUUCGGACUUCUAAUUUUCCUUUCUAGUUCAGAACUUUAUUUUCCUUUUUCUUCAUGGUUUAGGAUAAUUGUUACUAAUAUAAACAGUCAUAUCUUGUAGCCUUAAAGGCAUAUUCGAGUUCAAUAAUAUUUUCAAUUUUCAAAUAUCUGUGUGAGUAUUUGAGUUAGUUAAUUCUUAGUAUUUUGCGGAAUCAACGAGUCUUAACUCCUAAAUUCGCGGUAUUCUUUUGAAUCAACGUGAAUUUAGUUUGUUCUUUUAUUCCGGUAUUCUCUAGAAUCAAUGGAAUAUUUUGAACUUUAAACUUCCGCUGCAUCAGAGAAUCGAAAUGAAAAUCAUGGGACCCACAUCAAAUUGAAAAUGGGGAAUAAGAGACUAAUUCUUGGGGAUGGGAAUAAGUCUCCCAUACCCUAAACUACCAAAUUUGACCCAUUAAAGUUUCUAAAUUUCAAAAAUACCCCCAUUAAAUUAAAAAUAUAAAUUAAAAAAAAAGAAAUCACUGCAUCGGCACCACGUCAUUGUUGGUCACAAUAUCACAGCACUAGCAUCGGGAUCUAGUGUCACUAGUCGUUAGGGAUGGCAAAAAUCCCCACGAGGACGGGUACCCUCGGGGAUUUUCCCCAUUCGGGGAGGGUAUGGGGAUAAUUUCAUACCCAAUUUCUUAUUCGAGGAAGGGACGAAGAAAAUUUUUUACCCAAUUUCUUAUUCGGGGAGGGGACGGGGAUGAGGUGGAAUCCCCAUCCCCUACCCAUUUCCCCAUUUUAAUUUUUAAUUUUAUUUUUAUUUUUUAAAAUUACUAGUAAAUAAAUAAUAAAAUUUGAAUUUUUAAUUUUAAUAUUCAUUAAAUGUUUUAAACUUAAAUCUAUUUUUUAUUUAUUUUUAGAUGUUAUAAUUGCCCACAGCGAAUCACAAUUUUAAUAUCUAAUUUAAUCUAAUCUAAUCCAAUUUAAUCUAAUAUUUACUCUUGAUUUACUCCGACUUAACUAUUGUGUUGUCAAGGGAAUAGUCCACAUUUAUAAAGUGCCACGCCUCCAUUGAAAAAGUUAAUUUUGAAUCUAAAUUCGAUUUUAUUUGUAACAAUUUUGUAUUAGACUAUUAAUUUAUUCAUAAUAGUUUGUAAAAGAAGUUUGUAUCCCUUACAUGCCGCGUUACUUACUAAUUUAAUGUAUGUGACUUUUGUAAUGGAUAUUAAUGUAAGAUAUAUUUCAAACUUUACUUUUAUUUGAAUUUUUUAUUUUAAUAUGAUUAACUCAAAAUCAAAAACAAAAAAUGUAUUAGUUAUUCGGGGAUCGGGGACCCUUGGGGAUCCCCUGUUAUUAUUCGGGGAGGGGAUGAGGAUUCUCUCAAGUAAUUCUGACGGGGACGGAGAGGGGACGGGGACAUACGCAAAAUAUCGGGGAUGGGUACGAGGAGAUUGGUCCCCUCCCCUCCCCUCCCCAUUGCCAUCCCUACUAGUCGUCUCCAUUUUGGCACAUUGUCUUUGGAGCACAUCGUUGCUGGUUGUCUCCCUUUGGACACUUCUUCUGUGAAGUAGCUGCUGGUUGCCAAAAUCUUCAUCGUCUUCAUCUUCACCAUCUAAUCUUCACCUCGCGAUCUUCAAUAAUAAUAAUAAUAAUUAAUAAUAUUAUUGUUAUUAUUAUUUUUAUCCUUAUUAUUGUUGGUAUUAUAAUAAAUACAAAUUACUCUAAGGUUCUAAAAAAAAAAAAACUAGGGACAACAAUUAACAAAGGGUAUUUUAGUAAAUUGUAAUAGUCAAUUCCAAUUCGAAGAUAAAGUAAAGUAAAUUGUAAUAGUCAAUUCCAAUUAUAAGAUAAAGUAAACACAUAAUGAGAAUGAAGUUCCUUUUGAUUUUGAUUCAUACAACUCAAGUAAAUAAUUUAUCCCGAUUCUCGUUUAGUAAACACGCCAUUAGUUUUUUUUUUUUUGGUAAUCGUGAGCACAAAUUAUAUUCACAACAAUUGAGUAAAAAUAUAAAAGUAACUUAAAAUAAACACACGAAUUCUUGAGUUGAUCAACAACACUACUCCCGAUGAGUUCAGUAUCGAGCGAUUCUUGAUGGAGAUAUAGGUCAACAGAUCACUAUUUUACAAAAACAAAUAUAGUAAAUAAAUAUUCAUUUUAUAGAAUUUUACAAUAGAUCAUAUAAUGAUCAUAUUUAUAUGAUUGCAAUGGUCGAUCACCGAUAAAGAUUCUAACAAUAAUAAAUUUAUUUUAAACAGAUACCUAUAAUUUUCGGUGGUGGUUAAUCUUCCUCUUCAAUAAGUUUUUCAUUGUUUAAUAAGACAAUGCCAAAUAUAAGUUGUUUAAUAAGACAACACCAAAUAAAAUUUUAUCCUAGUACAAUUUUGUUUAGUGCACUCCGGGCCAGACAGUCUAACAAAAAACGCCUUUAUGGGUUAAUCAUUUUCCUUCGACACAUUGUGAACGUGCAUGUAUAAUUUCCAAAUUCCAAUCCAAAAUUCCAAGACCCGCGUUGGGUGAAAAGCUGGAAUGCAGGAGGAAAUUCUCAAGUUAUUGCAUACAUCCAGUUGAAUUUUGGGAGCAUCUUGGAAGUUACAUUGAAGGGCCCACACGCAAAAAAUGCAUUUUUGCUUUCUUUACAGUGACCGUAUAAUUUCCAAUCAAAACUUCCGAAGGCCCGUGCAAGUGAGGUGAAGACGCGGCAAUGCGGAAGGAAAUGCGUAGGUGACCUGGUGAAUUAAAGUUGUUUGGAGAGCUUCAGUGAAAGUUAUUGAGUAACGAUCAGGUGGGGAAUGUAUAAUUGCAUGCGUGUCAAGAUCUUAAAUAAAGCUAUGUUCUGAGGCCCACAGAUGUCUCUCUCAGAUCCUCCCACUAAACUCACUUCUUAUCUUCUUGAUCGAUAUAUGCUUCGCAACAAAUAGCCAUUUCUCAAACUAUAUAAUCCAGAAAUGGAACAAAAACUAGUCAACAUUUGUUUCUUUAAAAAUCAAACAUGAAAAAACACCAUACUUUCUAAUUACAUUUUGACUGUAGCAUUGCAAUUAUGGCAAAGCUAUGUAUGAUUUAAUUAUUUGAUAAUGCAGAAUCAACCCACAUUGCAGCCAGAUUCUGUUUGCCCGAAUUCUUCACUAGGCUAAAAAGGGGAAUUUUCAUUAUAAAAUUGGGACCAAAGCUUGAUAAUUUCUCUGACUUCAUUAAUCUUUAUCUGCUUUUUCAAAAUAGUUGUAGAUGAACUUUUAUUAAUAUAUGAUAACUGAGUUUUUCUCCGAUAAGGAUGUCUGUAUUUUUUAAAAUGCAGAUUCAUGAUUUUACAACACUAUAAAGUAAUUUAGCAGUUUACAAUGUUGUAAAAUCCUAAAUUUACAUUUUUUAAAAUGCUAACAUCUUAUGAUUAUAUGAUAAUUGUGGGGUAGUGUUAGUGAAAAUACUAUAAGAUAAAUCCCACUCACUCAACACAAAGAUGCUAAUACAUAGGUCUAAUUUGAUAUGGUGAUUGAGAAUCACUUUGUCAAACGAAUCUGAUUUCGUGAUGGACGAAAUAUCAUUCUAAUCCAAAUGACUCGACGUUGUGAUGAAUUAAAUAUCGUUCUAGUCCAAAUGACUAAACAUCAUGAGAUUUUUAAACAACACUCAACAAUGUGAGGUUAAGGAUAAGGGCAACGAUCCCAUCAACGAGACAAAAUAUAGAGGAUUUUAUUGAAUAACUAAAUUAAAUUAAUAAUGAUAAUACCUCUCUAUUUAUAAUGGGUAAAAAUCUACUUCCCAAUUUAACUCAAAUAGAAAAACAGAAUCACAAUUAAACUAGAAAUAAUAUCUAUAAACAAAUAGUUAAUAAGACACUGAUUAAAAUAAAAAAUAUCAAAAUAUCAUAAAAUAUUCAAAUAACCUCCUGCAUCAACAGCACAUCUAUAUCUAUUUUUAUUUUCAUUUUAUUUUAACACUAAAUAGCUCGGUUUUAAUUCAGUUCGGUUAAAAAAUCAAAAAUCAAUUCGUUUAUAUUUUCUGAACUAUUCAGUUCUUACUGACCAAGUCGAAUGCCCAACCCUGCAUUAGGGUAACUCACUGAUAACGUGUCAACAUCGAUAAAGAGUUUUCGUAUCAUAUAUUCCGCUUCUCCAACCUUGUUGUGGUUAGUAGCCUUUUUUUUUUUUUCAAUAAUAGGUGAGAAAUCUCAUUCAUUACACUCACUUUAUCUUAGAUAAUCGUGAGUACAAAUUAUAUUCACAACAACUGAAUAAAAAUAUAAAAAUAAUUUAAAAUAAACACACGAACUCUGGAAUUGAUCAACAGCACUACCCUCAAUGACUUGAGUAACAAGCGAUUCUAGAUGGAGAUAUAAAUCAACGCAUCAUUAUCUUACAAAAAUAUAUACAGUAACAAAAUAUUCAUUUUAGCAUGCUCCUGAUUAUAUUUAUAUGAUAGUAUUGUUCAAUCCUCCGAUGAAAAUUGUAACAAUACUAAAUUCGAUACCAAUAAUUAUCAGUGGUGGCUAAUCUCCCCCUCCAAUAAGUUUUUCAUUGUUUAAUAGGACAACACCAAAUGUAAUUUUAUUAAAAUUUUCUAAUUUAUCCUAGUUCAAAUUUGUUUAGUGCACUCGUGGCCAGGCAGUCCAACAAAAAUGCCUUUAUGGGCUUAUCACUUUCUUCGACACACGGUGACCCUGUACGAGCAAUUUCCAAAUUCCUAUCCAAAAUCCCAAGACCCUGUGUUAGGUGAAAGCAGGGAUGCAAGAGGAAAUUCUAAAAUUAUUGCAUAAACAUCCCAUUCAAUUUUGAAAGCAUCUUGGAAGUUACAUUGAAGGGCCCACGCGCAAAAAUGCCUUUUUCCUUUCUAACACUUACCGUGUAAUUUCCAAAGGCCCUCGUAAGUAAGGUGAAGUCGCGGCAAUGCAGAAGGAAAUGCGCUGGUAAACCGGUGAAUAAAAGUUAUUUGUGAAGCUUCAUAGAAAGUUACACAAGUUAUGAUAUCUUUUUGUAGUGAACGACCGCAUGCUUGAGGUUCACGUCUCUCUCGGAUUCUCAACAAAUCCAUCUUUUAUAUUUUUUAUAUAGCACUAAACUCACUUCUUAUCUUCUUGGCUCGGUAACAAAUAGCCAUUUCUCAAACCAUAUAAUGCAAAAACGAACAAAGAAGCUAGAGACAGGAUUUGUUUCUUUAAAAAUCAAACUGAAAAAAACCAUGCUUUCUGAUUACAUUUUAGACGGUAGCAUUGUCAAAUUUGGGAAAAGCUAUGUAUGAUCUAUUUGAUUAUGAAGAAACAAACCAAACUUCAGCGUCAAUAAACCCAGCUAUAUUAUUCAUGUGUUAGUUAUCGGUCCAAACAAAAUACAAGUAGAGUCAUGUUCGUCAUAAUUCUUCACUAAGCUAAAGAGGAGAAUUUUCAUUAUAAAAUUGGGACUGUUACAAAAUAAUUUCUCACACUUCAUCAAUCUUUAUUUACUUUUUCAAAAUAGUUGUGGAUGAACUUUUAUUGAUAUAUGAUAACAGAGUCUUUCUUUAGCGAAGAUGUUCACAUUUUUUUAAAAUAUAGAUUUAAGAUUUUACAAUGCUGUAAAAGAUUUUUAUAAUGUUGUAAAAUGAUUCAUCAGUUUACAACAUAAUAAAUAUUUUCUUAUAAUAUUUUACCGAAUUCGCAUUUUAGAACAUGCGGUCAUUCGCGCCUGUAAAUGUUUACAUGAUAAUUGAUGUAGUGAGGUAGUGUAAGCAGAAAUAUUGUACGAUAAAAUCCAGUUUAUGCGACAUAAAGACGGGAAUACAUGAGUCUAAGUUUGAUAUGGUAGUUGUGAAUCACUCUGUCAAACGAAUUCCAUUUCAUGAUAGACUAGAUAUCGUUUUAAUCCAAAUGAUUGAACAUCGUGAGAUUUUUAAAUAACACUCAACAAUGUGAGGUUAAAGAUAAAGAUAACAUAACUAAAUUAAAUGGAGAUAUAUAUAUCUACUAGAAAUACUAAAACGUCAAACACCAAAGUUAUACAAUCUAUUAUCUGACAGGAUUGACAAGGGAUGAGCUUGACAAGAGAGGCUUCAAAGGGUCCGACAUUGUGCAAAUGUAAGCGGCGGCCAUUGAGAAUGCAGAAACUAGGCAUAGUGGCCAGAGCGGGAGCUCGCUGAAAAGAAUCAUCAUCAAUGCUACCGAUAUGAAAAAGACUAAGGAAUUGAAGACAAUGACUGAUGGUAUAAAAUAUGGAUGCUGAUUCACAAUCUGGCAGAAGGGACUUUGGCUGCUAGAAUUGCAUUCGUAGGCUUGUUCAGCUCUGCAUCCCAGGAUCUUCAAUUGUAUGUGGAAGGUUGUGGUUGAUAACAGUGCAGAGAUGAGUAAUAAUAAAUGAUAUACAUUAACGCCUUUAGAGUGCUGCUUUCCUGUUUCCAUGGGCCAGUUAUGCUGCAAAUUUGAAGCAGCUGAUGAGCUAGCUGUCUUCCAAGAUGAGAUGUCUAAAGCUGAAAAAUAAUACAAUAGCUGCAGAAUUCAAAUAUAAAAUUACAACAAACAAAAAAAAAACUGUAGGUGGC
This 67577-nucleotide long non-coding RNA is filed under the name Citrus sinensis (sweet orange). RNAcentral describes it as "long non-coding RNA (CSIN_LNC003961)". The record is from RNAcentral. Lineage: Eukaryota; Viridiplantae; Streptophyta; Magnoliopsida; Sapindales; Rutaceae.